GCUAGUACUAUGGCUGGGACCCUAUAUGUACUGUUGAUGAAGUUAGGUGCUCUUCUGAGCAUUAUUUGUGGCUAUAGAGUGGUGUUUUGGUUGAGGUUUGUUUAUGGCUCCCGAGACCGUUGUGUAUUGCUAUCGUGCGGUCGUUACUAAAGUUGGUAAAACUAGAGAAGCAAGCGGUCGGCAACAUUCAUCUCUUGAGGGGGGGUGUCUAACUCGGUGUCACGGUGUGUUUGACCCUAACUUAAUUUUACGCUGAAAUAUCCCUUCAAGUCAAUUGAGACAUUGGCAUGUGGUCCAUACUUUUUCUAUUUUGUAUCUCAUAACCGUCAUUACAACCUCAUUGCUUGGCUGUAUGCAUGAGGGUCGCUGUAUUUAGUCUAAUUCAACAUAUGGUUCUCCUCCACCUCACUCUCCAUUAGGGGGAAUCUGUUUCCCCCUUUUAGUGGAUUUUAUUCCCCAUAUUCUCAGUGCUGGCACAUGCUUUUCUUCUGAGUCUAUGCAUCCAUGCAUAUGAUUAUCCGAGAGUCCAUAUUUAAGAUAAAUGCAUGAGGUAGAUGCUGCCCUGUAUUAAUGCGGCUAAUCUAUUGAGUUUAACGUGUUGUGUUUACUGCUUUGCACGCCGAACGCCUUCUGCCAUUUCUCCUUUCAUGAGUAUCAUAAACAUCACUGACAGGCCGUCCAGCAUGAUAGAGAGGGAGGGAAACAAUCUUUUACGCACACUGAGAGCGAGAGGUGUAUGUACAGAGUGGGUGAUCUGUGUGGCAUAUAAUACUAGAGACUUGAUUUUUAUUAUUUAAAGGUGGUGUAGAGAGUGAAGAAGGAAGGAGGAAAAGAUGGAGAGGGAGGAGAGUCGAUGAGGGGGGCAGCUCUAUGAAUCAUCUGGAGGAGCAGCUGCUGUAUCCCUACCUUUUCCGUUUACUCUCUCGUCUCUCCAUCCCUACUUCCCUCCCUCCCGUCACCCCGAAUUAGCCGACAUCUUCAUUAAUGUGUCAUUACAACUGAGCCAUUCACUGCAACACACAUUCACAUUACACACUUGCAGCUCAUUUGGUUUUGAAUGUUUUCACAGUUUUAACCUCCUCACAGACUGACACUAAAAAACCUUAAACAGUCCAUUUGAUAAACUGCUGCUGCAGACUGAGGGCAUAUCAGUUUAAGUAAUAAACUACAAUUUAAACACCACUAUCCUGCCUGUGAUGGUUAAACUGUUAGUUUAUGAUAAUAUGUUGAAUGGAGGACUGCCUAACAAGAUAUUUGAUCUACAGAAAAUAACAAGAAGAGAAUGGUGGAUACCUUAAAAUGAAACCACACAUACUAUUGAACAAUUUUAGUGUUUCAAGGAGAGAACUGUGGGCUCUAGCAUGCAAGGGACAAAGAAUGACCCUUAAAAGGAUAUUCCGGCGUAAAAUUAAUUUAGGGUCAAAAACACAGGCACACCGAAUUAAACACCCCCUCAAGAGUUGAAUAGUGCCGACUGGUUGCUUCUCUAUGCAUAAAUGCUCAUAAAUGUUCUUCCUUGAGCUCUGUCACCCCGCAGCAGUCCGUAAUGGACUGUCCUGAGGUGUUGCUAAAACCAAGCAGCUGCUGGAAGAGAGUAGGUGAGUUGUGUUUAGUCUCUUUGCUAAAGAAAUCUGGCAAAGUUAAAAAGAUGUUUUAUGUUUAGUGCUAUGGCUAGGACCCUAUAUGUACUGUUGAUUAAGUUAGGUGCUGUUCUGAGCAUUAUUUGUGGCUAUAGAGUGGCGUUUUGGUUGAGGUUUGUUUAUGGCUCCUCAGACUGCUGUGUAUUGCUAUCGUGCGGUUGUUACUAAAGUUGGUAUAACUAGAGAAUCAAGCAGUCAGCAACAUUCAUCUCUCGAUGGGGUAUCUAACUUGGUGUUAUGGUGUGUUUGACCCUAGAUUAACUUUACGCCAGAAUAUUCCUUUAAACCCUCGGUAAAACAUGCAAUUACAUGGUGGCAAAAGUGGAGAACAGUGUAUAAUUUGUAUUACUAAAUGCAUUUCUUGACGGGUUAACAUACAUAAUACUAGCAAGAGAUUAGGAAAUAAGUGAAGCAGCACAUACCACUGACGAAGCUGUGUAAUAACAGAGUACUAACAGGAAAAAAAGCAGUGAGUACUAUAUGAUACAGCUCCCAUCCUCACUAUUAUAGAAAAAGAUCUCCAGUCUCUGUGCUCAUCAGUAAAUCAGUGAACUACUUCAGAGCUCAGUACUCUCCACCUGCAGACAGACAGAGACGUUUUGUCAAACAGAAUGAAACAGUUCUGUUAGAAGCACUCCUACAUGUUCAUUUUCUCUGUCUCCUCUUCCAACUUCAUGGUCUGUGUCUCCCCUCGACCAUUUAGGAAGAGGAGAUCCCGGGUCAAUCAGAGUUGACUGCUGAGUGCACUCUGAGUUAUGACCGUGUGUCCACACUCCCUGUUCUGCCUGCACUCAAACAGGCAGCUGGAAGGAGGCCUGUUCACAGUAAACCUGACCCCUGCUGAACCCCUCAUCCAUAAUCCAUAAAUCCAGUCCAGUCUGUGACACAUGCACAGUCAGGUUUCCACUCUGUUUGCUCUGAAUCCCUCUAUCCUUUUCCCCUGAGGCCCCCAAACACAUACACAGAAGGCAACAGCAGACCUUGACGGCAAAAUAUGCAGAUAUACAUACCAGUUGCAUGUCAUGUUCAACUGUCUUCAAACUGAUCCAGGGUUAGGGUUAGAAAUCCAAAGAAAGAUGGGUUUUGGUCCCUGACAUACUCAAGAUCCUACAAAACACUAUCCAGACCUAUGUGAUAUCAUAUAACUUGAACCACGCUUAUAUCUUUGCUGUUUCUUGUGCCAAAUCAAAAGUAUGAAAAGUUUAGCAAGCUCCAUGUCAGACUUUCUAACUCCAUCUUUCCAUAAGAGCAUAUAAAGGUGUCAUUUUCUCACCCUGGUGUUGCAGAGCUUUUAUGAGAGAUGGAGGUGUCAGUCACUCACACUCAGACCAUGUGUGCACAGUGCAUACCUAGACUAGAACAUUUUAAAGGCACAGUAAUUAACACCUUUGUAGGUAUACUGAGGCUGAGGUUGGCCUCUAGCGUGCAGUAACAGGAACAGUGUGUCAGAGGCCAACAACAGGUGGUUUGAACACCUUCAAGUCUCUGUUAGUCACCUUUACAGAAAACCGCAGUGGCUGUUACUGGCUGAUGAAUCAUUUCAGCUUGUACAAAACUUGAGUUGUGCUGGGCAUACAUAUAUAGCUAUCUUUGGGGUCAGACUUAUGGAAUGGAGGUUGUCCAUGUUAUUUCUGUUAUUAUUGGUUUAUUGAGUGGAUUUUUUCCUAUCUCUGGCUCACACAUAUGUGAUGACCGUGGGCAGAAAAUGUAUUUCAUCUAUCUCUUCCCUUUCUGUCAAAAGUGAUAACAUCUGUUGUCUGUUUUCUACCUCUCUCAGUCCAUAAUUAUAUUUCUCUUUCUCUCUCUGACCUCAGUAACAUACACAUACACACCCACACAUAAGGCGAAAACACACUCUCAUCUUCAGGAUUUAUUCACUCUGGCAGCUAUGUCUAAGACCCUCUGUUUCAGGGAUAUAAUUUAGCCUUUUUGCAGAGGAGGCUUUUGGAGUCACAUUGACCUCCUCAGACAGAUAAAAGUAGUUUCUCUAUCUUACUGUUGUUCUGGCGAUUAUGUCUCAGUAUUCCUCUGUCCUCUGGUUGACUCACCCACAGUGCUUUUUCCUCAACUUCGAAAAAGUGCUUCAGACCACAAAUGCAACCCUUUUACUGAAAUGCUUUCUCUCUGAAUCAUCUUGGUUUUCAGUCGGCACAUUAUGAUUACUUGAGCACAAAAGUUUCAUUAAUACCUAAAAUGAUAGAUUUAUCAGCUAUAAUAGGGAAGAUGGUGACAACGGUUACUAAUCUUCCUAAAUGUGGCUCUGGCUCUGGUAGAACAAGUAAAAAGUUCUUCAGCUUCUAAUGCUCCAGUAGUAGUAUUGUUACAGAUUACAGUAUAAUUACAGUAUCUAUCUAUCUAUCUAUCCAUCUAUCCAUCUAUCCAUCCAUCCAUCCAUCCAUCCAUCCCAUUGGAUUUAAGGUAGGGUUGGUAAUCUGAUUUAGAUUACUCUUUUUGUUAUUCUGGUGAAAAUGAUCUUUAUGUUCCGAUGGCAGUCAAUACAUGAUGUGUUCUUAAAAAAGAGUGAAACAUAGCUGCUAUCUAAAAAAGAGCAAGAAAAGAAAGAGAGGCAGAAAAGGCCGAAGCAAGACAGAGUUUGGAGAAAGCAAGGGUGAAAAUGAAAGUUAACAUUGGGACAGCUUUUCAGCGAUGAAGAGAACUGAAAGAGGUCAAGGGCUUCGAAAGUGAUCCCAUAGUCGCUCAUUUUCUAUCGGAAAGGUACGUUGAUGGUUUGGUACAGGGCGAUUUUUAAUCUUGAUCAUGUAUUUAGCCAUGUUGCUAGUUAUGUGGUCAUCCUGAUGUUAACAUUACCUUUGUCCCUGCUGUUUAAAGACUUCCCAAUCUACCUUUAUUGACGCAGCCAUUGGAUUAAAGUUUAGGAAGACGAUAGUCUUACAUAUUGAAAAAUGAGCCAAUCAAAUUUGAAGUGAUCAUGCAGUGAAGUUUGCAUGAUCAACCUACCUCUGCAUCAUCUUUGACUAGUGUGAAUCAUAUACACCUGUAGCUUAUUCUUACUUAGUUUGAACUUGGGCUGUAAGGUCCUGGUCAACUAGUUGACCUAUUGGUUGAUAUGUGCUGAGUCGACCAAAAUUCUGAUUGUUCAACCCAAUUUUUCUCUGUGUCAAUUUGCAGUCUAUGGUUAAAUUCAUCAGGAGGAACGUACCAGUGCUAAUGGGCAUCCCCAUUUCACAAGUAACAGCUGUUCUCUGAACACCCUCCUUGUUUUCACUAUUUUGGAUUCGCCCAACCCACUGGAGACCAGCUAGAGACAGUAAAAUGUCCAUGUCAAUCACCGUCCGGUGGUUUGCUGAAUAUUUAUUUUUAUUUUGAGCAUUUCAACUUGCCUUUUGUGUUUAAUUGGUGUCUUCUGCUGCCUGCGCUCUGCUGACCCACAUCAUCCCCUGUCACAGACGGGUUUGUACCCCCUCUGAUUAGUUGAUUUUUGGUUAGGGUCAGGGUUAGGGUUAGGUUUUUUGGUUGAAAAUUUCAGUCGACUUUCAUUUAGUCGACCAAGAAUUUCUUUGGUUGAUUACAGCCCUACUUUGAACUUAAAUUGGUGUUUUUUCGUAUUCUCACUGAAAAAUAUCCACUAAAAUAUACUGGUGUGUGUUGAAAUGAUGCAACAAAGAGACCACAUUAAAUCUAUUUGGUGGAUAAACACCUAUAAAACCUCAUCUAUAGGACUAAUGUGCUGACAAUACUGCUAUAGCUAUUGUUAUGCACUUUUUUUUUGGUCUUGUCCCUAUGUCUGUUUACUUUGUUGUUUAAAAUGUGAUCAUUCUUUCCAGUUCUCUUGCCAAGUCUGAAUGUGGUUUUCAGUGACCGCCUCCUGAACUGCAUCAUUUCCAGCAAGAGUUUUCUGGCAACAUAUUAUGAAAUGUAGGGAUGUUGGCAAAACAAAGCUCUCCACCUGCCAGCUAAUGAGCAAUUAUUCAUAUAAAGAAAAAAGGUUUUUUUGAUGUUAAGCACGCUCCAGCUUUGAACCAAACCUCAUUUUGAUUUUAUGUGUAAUUACAUUUUAUUUCUUUGUGGCUUUUGUUUUCGCGUUCUGCUCACUCACAGGUUUCCCUAUACUCAUUAGUCAUGCUCAUAUCAGUAAUAGGCCAGAGUCCCAGCCCUGUUUACUAUGAAUUGUCUUUAAGCUAAAUUACACAAAUUACCAAACGGCAGUGAAAGGUUCUGAAAUUGGACCAACCAAUUUAUGAGAUGAGUUUUGAUUUAAAAUAUUCUUGUUAACUCGAGAGGCCAAUCACUUCACCUGUUCACAAGUGGACAAGAUGUAUUGAUUGAAACGCUGGUAGUUCAAUGCUUACCUGCUUUACUGCACUUUGAGGUCAGACUGAAGGAGAUGAAGUUGUAUUGAUGCUUUGACACUGUUUACAACAGCUGCCUUUUAGGAAAUAAUGAUGCCAAAUCAAUGUAUCUCCACAUCAUUAUUCACUUCAAAUGAGAGAGUCUGUUAACUCCCAGCUCUGCAGGACAACAAGGGCAUUUAUGAUAGGUUCACAUCUGAGAAAUAGAUGUUUCUAUUUAAAGCAAUAAGAGCAUUGAUUGGCUUGUUUGGACUGUGAUUAGAAAGGUUAUUGGAUGGAGGCCACAGAGCAGCUGCUGAUGAGACUACAGAGGAUGUGUGGGGGGAAUUACUCUCGCUUGCUGUUUCACACACACACACACACACACACACACACACACACACACACACACACACACAGAGCACCUUUUUUUCUUUUUUCUGCUGGGUUAGCUACACAUGUAUAUAUAUACAAACAUAUCCACAAAAAGAUCUUAGCCAUUUCAAUUUACCAAGGUUAGUUUAAUAUUCAGCACACUAAAGGGGAAAAUUAAAUAUGCAAAAACUGAUGAUGGAAAUUGUGCUUCAUGGAAGUUCAAUAGGUACAGGCCUUUUCAGUACAAAUGUAUUGGCGAGAUUGUAAAAAACAGUCUGUCACAAAACAGAAUAAAUAAUCUUUCAUGCUUGAAAUAAAUUGAUUUUUACAGAUACCUGAAGAGGGAAAUGAAAACACAGAUUGAGGGAUAGUUGCCAGUAUGAGGAAAAAAAGGUUAGUUCAUGGAGGUUUUGGUUCGUCUGUUCAUCAGGAAACAUUACCCACAUUACCCAGCAUGCCUCACAGCAGCUGUCAGUGUCCCCCUAACAGUCAUUCAUGGCUGGCUCUGCUUUGCUGAGAGGAAACAUUUAGUGUAAAAAUCACAGUCUGAGGGUGAAAAAAAGAGGAGGAGAGUUUGUGUUAGAGCAGAAGAGAGGGCACAGCAGUGAUAGCCAGGGGCUUUUUGUGGUUAAAUUCACAUUUUUCAAUUUAAUUUCAUGUCUCUGCUUCUCCCUCACACACAUGCGAGGACAAAAUCGAGUAACACUGCACAAAACAGGAGGAAGGAUUUUCAGUAGAAAUAAAGCAGCAACAUGAGCUUCAAGGCAGUGGCAUGGACAGUAAUGUGGAAAACACAGAUAAACUCGUUUUCUGAUAGUGAGAAAAAGAGACCAGAGACAUAUCGACACAGAGAGUGGCGGGCGUGUGUGGGCAGUCGGAGAUCUAGCAGAUUCCUCCUGAUGUUUUUUUCUGAGGGCACUUUCCUGAUCUUUGGGGUCCCAGAGGAGUUUCUCACUACAGACCUCCUUUUUCAACCAGAAAGCACUCAAACUCCAGGUCACUGCACUGUUAGUGAUGACACAUUAAAAACAUGGCUGCAGGGCCGAAACGCCAUUGUUGCCAUAGUGAUAAAAGAGCUGGGAUGGCUAAUAUCCCCAGAGCACAGAGACUGUAAAUAAAAAUAUCACUCAUGUCUCUGUGGCUACUAUCCACACAUGCACAUGAUCUCACAAAACAGAUCAUGUGCAUGUAAAUGAGCUUAUUUUUCUAAAGGGAUAUUCCGGCGUUAAAUUGAUUUAGGGUCAAAAACACUGUCACACCGAAUUAGACUCGUUAGAGAUGAAUGUGGCCAACCGCUUGCUUCUCUAGUUUUAUCAACUUUAGUAACAACCGCACGAUAGCAAUACACUUCAGUUUGAGGAGCCAUAAACAAACCUCAACCAAAAUGCCACUCUAUAGCCACAAAUAAUGCUCAGAACAGCACCAAACUUCAUCAACAGUACAUAUAGGGUCCAAACAUCUUUUUAACUUUGCCUAUUUUCUUUAACAAAGAGACUAAGCACAACUUAGUGUAAAUACUCAUCUAUUAAAAGUAGUAGUUAGUUAUCAUGACGGACUUGGGUCUUACUGCUGUAAAUCUCAGAUUGUAAACCCAAAUAUGAAUCACUGUGUUGUACUAAUACUGAUUAGUAUACUAACCCAAUAUCAAUUUUGGCCCCCAAAAUUCACCAAAUGAAAUAGAGAAAGAAGUCACCACCUACUGAAUAACAACAGCUAUUUACUGGAAGAGUGAUGUUUGUCAAAGUUUGCAAAAUGUCAGUUAUGUUAAAGUCUAGACCAUUUGUACAUAGACCAAGUCAUGACUGAAACCAGUACCAGUGAAGAGAACUUGUAGUUAUUGAUGCCUGAGGAGGGUAAGUGUUGAACCUGUUGAUUUACAGUAAGCUGGAGCAACAGCUUUCUAUUUACUAUUUGGAAAUGUACUCACAUUUUGCAGUUAAGAGACAUCAAGAUGCGGCAUUUGUCUUAAGAUUUGUCUCUCAUGUACUGGACUCCUGAUAAUGUCCACAGGGGGCGCCAAAACCAAAUGAAAGGCAAAAGCUCCUCACAGCAUCUUUAAAACAAAAGACACUCCAUCCAUCCAUCCAUCCUUCCUUCCUUCCUUCCAUCUAUCCAUCUAUUCAUCCAUCCAUCCAUCCAUCCAUCCUUCCUUCCUUCCAUUUAUCCAUCUAUUCAUCCAUCCAUCCAUCCAUCCAUCCUUCCUUCCAUCUAUCCAUCUAUUCAUCCAUCAUCCAUCCAUCCAUCUGCUUGACCAUCCACCUACUUUCCUCUAAUGUUCUUUUGGAAACAGGCCCAGUAACUCAGGCCUGACAUCCCUCUCUUUGGCAGUAUUUUCUGGUUUCCCUCUGAGGAUCCUCCUGAGUUCUUCCCAGUCCAGAUAAGAUAUGUAAUUCCUCCAGCAAGCUCAGGGUCAACCUUUGGCCCUCUUCCAGAUGCCCAGGAGGCAUCCCAAUCAGAUUCAAGAACCACUUCACCCUCCAUCAAAUACCUAUGUAUCACGGCUGACCGCAAGAUACCUUGUAAAUGAAACUCCUUUCAGGGGCUUGAACCAGCGAUCUCAUCCUCCCUUUACCCUGCAAGUUUAUCUGAAAAAUCUUUAUUCCUUUGAAAUCUUCUGCAGAGGAGAAAUUUCAGGAACUGUCACAAAAUGUAAGGAUAUAUCUCAAAACUUUGGCUUUUUCGAUUUGAAAGUGCAACAGGAGUUUGUUGGUUUACAGAAAGAACCCCUUGAUCUAUGAUUGUAUGAAUCACGACAUCGACUUUGAUUUCUUUCAUGCUGUUUUUCUUUUCCGACUCUGCUCUGCUGGAGACAAAUCAACAAGAAGAAACCAUGUAUUUAUCUUCUUCAGUAACAAGAGAAAACAACACCAACCACUACGUCCAACCUGCUGCCCCCCACACACAUAUAACUUUGAUAUUUUAUAUGGAUUAUUUUGCUGUUAACUCACAGUGGUUGCGCUGUCUUGUUUACAAUUAUCAUAUAGGCCCAUCAGUGAACGUCUGUGUCUUAUACGCGAUACUGUUAUAAAAACAAACAUUUAACACAAACCCACAGGGCCUUUAUUUAAAGUGAGACGGCCACGCUCUUAAUCAGAUUAUCUCCCACUCUGUAUACAAACUUAAUUCACCCUCAGUCAACAUUUGCAUUGUGAACACAACAAAACAAAUGAACAUAUUUGCUCUCUGUCUGACUGGAUAACUGAGGCAGAGUAAAUGUAGACUAACAGAAACAGUAACAACACAGAGAUGUGCAGGCCUAGAGUGACUGAGCCCUGAGCAGUCAGAUCAUGUCUGUCCAGAGAUUCACCGCUGACCUGAGUUCAGGGUGCUGGGAGCAGCGGAGUUCUUGUCUGAUCUUGAUGUUUUUCUGUGUCAGAGGGAGGCUUAUUAAAUAUCUUGAACAGAAAGUACAAAACACAACAGAGAAACAGGACACACACUGACGCAUCCAGGGUCAAAGUUUGACAGAGAAAUGAUGAUGUGAAAUCAAGUCUCUGGGGACUCAAAGAGGACCGAUGUUCAACACUCACUCAGGAGUUCAGUUGGAUUUGAGCCACAUAUAUUUGUAUCAACACAGACUGUCUUUUUAAAAUGGAAUUUUGAUAUUGUGUUAAAAAAAUAAGCAUAUGGUAAUGCUGUGUGUUCUCUUUAUUGGUCCUUUACGCUGGUGGCAUGAAACAGAGGAGAGAUGAAGAAGAAGCAGCCUUUAGCAAGCUAGCAAUAGCAGCCCUUUAAAAGGGAUAUAUCAUGGCGUAAUAUCAAGUUAGGGUCAAACACACCGUAACACCGAGUUAGACAGCCCCCCUCGAGAGAUGAAUGUUGCCAACCACUUGAUCAUAAAUGUUCUUCCUUGAGCUGCGUAACCCCACUCGGUACUCGUCAGGGCUCCCCCUACAAACAAGCGGCUGCUGGAAGAGAGUGGGUGAGUUGUGUUUAGUCUCUUUGCUAAAGAAAUAAGGCAAAGCUAAAAAGAUGUUUGGUGGCUAGUGCUGUGGCUGGGACCCUAUAUGUACUGUUGAUGAAGUUAGGUGCUGUUCUGAGCAUUAUUUGUGGCUAUAGAGUGGUUAAGGUGUGCGCGUGGAUCCAUAGACCACUGUGUAUUGCUACCGUGUGUUCAUUCCUAAAGUUGGUGUAACUAGAGAAGCAAGUGGGGAGGUGUUUCUAUUCGUAUCAAUAUGCAUGUUUAACAUAGAGCAGAACUGAGCUGAAAACACCAUGGAUAUACAGGCUGUAUUUAUAUUGCACAUACUCUAAUCUUUUGACCACUCUAAGCGCUUUUACAAUACCUGUAACAUUCACUUAUUCACACCACAUUGAUGAGCUGAUGGCAGACUCUGCUACAUGUGAUUUCCACAAGCAUGAACUAAUCCCAUUCAAAGGGCUCCUCAGCACCCGUCUCUGCCACUGAGCCACAGCUGCCCGUGGUGAAGGCCGAGAGAUAUUCCUUCACUCAUUUAUCUUCAAAUGCUCUCAGUGCUCUCUGAUAAAUAACCCUCGCUCUCUCUCUAACUGUUGUUCAGCAGCCAAACAGAAAGAACACUUUCUCUCAGUGAGGAAAACCUGAAACCUGACUGGUGUGUUGUUACAGGCUGCUGUUAUGCAGGAACUGCUGGCUGUAGUGUGAUUGGAGGGGAAGCAGGAUUUGCUUAAGUUUUGGUCCAUCUGCUGAUUUAUAGCCUGUUGAAAAAUUAUACUCUCAGGAAUUUAGCUUUUAGACACCCUGGCCCAUAAUAUUUUAAUGAUAAAUGCUUUUGCUGACAGCUCCUUCUUCCUUCCUUGUACUCUCACUGCCAGCUUGAUAGUUUGGGUUUUUACACCCCGUUUCUGUGUUGGUGCUUCACUCUAGCAUCACUCCUCUCUCUCUCUUCCUCUGUUAUCCAUCUUUUUCUCCUCUACUUCACUAGACAAUGUUAUUCAUCACUCUGGCAACCAAGCAGUGUUUUCAUUAUCAUCGCUUGCCUCUUACUGUCACCUGGUUAAAGACAGAUGUUGAGGUCAUCAGCAGAAGACAGAGAGGGCCGUAGGAGCCAUUGGUGAACGCUGCUCUUCAUCUUUAUGGUGUCGAGUUCAACAACAUUGUGUGGGAACGCUUCUGCUGCGUUCCAGUUACCUCGGAAGUCGGAACUGGGAAUGACGUCACACCGGAAUUGACAGCGUUCCAGUAAACAAGUCGGAAAACCAAGAUGGACGCCUACUAUUAGUCGUUGUUAGCUGUUGUUUACAACUGUCAGCCAUUGUCAGUUGUUGUUAGUUGUUGUAGGCUAUACCAGUUGAAAACAACAUAUAACAUAGUAUUUUACUCGUACAAACACCAUAGCACCGUGUUCACAGUUAGACAUUGGGUCGUACAACAAAUUCCACUUAUGCUGCAUUCGAGUUUCCUGUGUUUCGGUUACCAAGUCGGACAAAAGCAAAAUCAGAGGCGAAAAACAAGAUGGCUACAUCUACGAAAGUUAUUUGAGCGCUUGCCUUUUCCAAACAUAACAAGGACAAGGCAAGCACUGAAAUAACUCGAGUAGAUGUAGCCAUCUUGUUUCUGCCUCCGAUUUUGUUUUUUCCGACUUGGUAACUGAGAUGCUGGUAAUUCAGGUGUGACAUCAUUUUCAGCUCCAACAUCUGACUUCAUAAAAUUUUACAAAAACAAAACAGAAUUUCUCAUAAAUAAUACAUUACAAGAGCUUUCAAUGUUUACUACCGAUGCACUGCGCUGCCAUCUUAGAUUAUGAAGUUGUCGUCAAGUUGGAGUUGGUCAGGAUCAUCCGACUUUCCGAGUUGGAAAUCCAACUUCAAGGGGGCGUUCCAGAUUAAUUUCCUACUCGGAGCUCAGAAAUCCUGACUUCUGAGUAAGACUGGAACACAGCAUUCAUAUUCUUUCCGACCAUGUUUCUCUUCUGACUCUGAAAUUCGACCUCAGACUUGGCCUAAUGACAUUGCAUUUAUAAAUCCCAUAAUUCCCAGCCUGCAACUGUAACCUCAGGAUGCAUCUUGCACUCACUGCAAGAUCUGCACACUGUUCCUCUAAACCCGAUAAGUUUUGUAUCACUAAUUUUCCUUUUAGAGACACUGUAAACUGACCCAUCAUCAUCAGACAGCUAGGAGCAUCUUUUUUCAUCAGUGCGUCUACGUGAGUUAUCACUUAUCUGUAACACUCAGACACCUCUGCAGCAGACAUUGUGCCAAUGAAGAAGAAGGUGAGAGUCUUUCUUCCUUAAUGUCACUUUUAGUACUUCUCAGUACCUCUGUCCGGGAGAGUGGAGCUAAUUUAAAUUCAUGUUUCAUCUGGAGAGGAAGAAACAGAGAGUGUGUGUGCAUAAACUUGUGUGAUGGCUGUGGAUGCAUAAUCAGAGGAGUGACCUCUGUGAACACUGCACCCAGUGCUGCUGUCUUCAAUAUGCCAGGUCAGAGAGGUGAUGGACUCUGUCCCCCUUUGAGCUGCAUUAUCACUGAAUCUUCUCUCGGUGUGUCUCCACCUGCUCGCUCUUAAAUAUACAGAAAUAGCUCUCUCACUUCCUCUCUUCUCUCAUUCUCUUUGUCUCUAUCAUCUCACCUCCUUCCACCUCAUGUACCGUUUAAUCACCUGAUCACCCCUGAGGCCAACACCUACCUGUCCCGGGUCAAAAGGUUUCUGUCAGGCUCUAGCUAAUACAUAUGUAUAUGUCCGGUCUUAAUCAAACACACAAACCUUAAAAAAUGAUGUGCUAAUGUCGUUAAUGCUCCACUUCUCUAUUUCUAAGUUGAACCUUAAUAGAAGAGGGGAAGUGAAAAGAGGAAGCUAUGGCUAUAAUGAGCUUAAGAGGGAGAUUUAAACAUUUUAGGACUGAUGGGGAGACAUAAUUCACGUAUCAGCGGUAGGAAAAGACUAUUUUGAAGUUUACGGAUGGAAAAAUGACACAAACUGAUGAGCAGAGACCACACAUGAUUUGAUUUUCUGGAUGCAAAAAGACCCAGGAACAAUUCUACGCUUGGUGGAAGCAUUUGAACCAGACAUAUUUUGACUUUUGAAAGAGCGGCCAAGCUAAGCAGCUACAGUCCUGCUUCCUUCAUGUAUCCUCUCUGACACCAGCAAUUGCCUUCUUUGGUUUCAGGUGGGCUCUGAGCAAGGUUACCUUUAAGCUAACUUAAAAAGGGUGACCAUAUGUCCUCUUUUACCUGGACAUGUUCUCUUUUUGGGGGGCUGUCCAGCCUUGUCCGGCUUUGUCUGGGGAAGUUUAUAAAAUCCGUCAAAUGUCUGCCAUUUUGUACAGAAGUUUCGAGUUUGUGUCACGUGGACUUACUGAGUUAGAAGUGCAUAAAAGACACUCGAUCCGACCCGAAAUACUCUCAAAAUUAACUUGGUGCAACUCCGUGACUCUGCCCCCACGUAGUUGUGUCCUCUUUUUUGGGAAGUCAGAAUAUGGUCACCCUAACUUAGCAUGUAGAAGUUGGCACAUGAUUGAGGAGAAAACGGACCACAAAGUCUUUGCUUUUUUCAGUGGACACAGUUGAGGACACAGCUUUAUGAGGAUGGCUGCUCAUCAGAAAUGUCAGAGAUGGUUAGUACACUUCGACUGCAGAGGGCAGGCAGUUCUCCUGAACCUAGUGCUUUACCUACCUUGCAUUUGCUUGGUCACUUUUUCUGCCUCAUUAACUCUGCCACUGUUCUAAUGAUAAUUCAAAGUCCUGCAUUACAUUGUUCCCUUAAGGUAAAACAGUUAAAACAAAGAUUUUCCAGCACUUUCUGCAGAGUAAAGAUUGACAUAACCCAAGAGGAGCUGGUGCCAUACAAGCAGACAUGGAACUGUUUCAUCUACAGGCAGAUUCAGCAGCAGUCAUGGCAGGUUUUGCACCAAGCGUUGACCAGAAAAGUUAAUUACAUUUAUUAUCUAAGUAGAAGAGGAGUGGAAUACAAACUGAACAGCCUCUUGCACUGUGUGGUCUCCCUCGGGGACAAUCACCUCUCUAACAACAAGCCAGAUCUACCUUAAAGCUUUUUUAAAUGACUCUGCAAUUUAUUCCAAGAUGCAGCGCAAUUGUUUGGUUUCAUAUUUCACUGCAUUUGUCCCUGCAGAGCAUCUGCGUCUCCAUAUACCAUUCAGUUGAUGUAGUGUAUAUCUGCCUGUAAUGUCUCCGGUUGUAUGGGGCCAUUGGGAGUAAUAAAACAGGCAUAAUCAGCACUGUUUGAAAACAUGCUGAGAUACAGAGAUUUAUAAGAUCCAAUUUAAAGAUAAAAGCAUCUCAGAUUAUUUCAUGUCAUCGAGUAAAACUACUUCCACUUGGUGUUAGAAUAAGUUCUCAGUUUCAAGUUCUGUUUUGUCAUUUUUCUUUUUUUUAUCUUUCUCUUUUAGUAUAUGAGUCAUUUCUAUGUUUUACAAGAGGUGUUUUUAAAAUCAGAACAUGCUGAGAUCAGUGUUUCAAAAAUUCCUCUGAGAAGUCUUGAAAGGACAGUAUGAAAUAGAGAAAUUCAAGGUUCUUACAAAUGUUUUUAAGUUACUCUAAAGUAGGGCUGGGCGAUAAACUGAAAAUUUACCGAUACCAAAAUUUACGACAAUAACCAACAUGAUUUUGCCCAAUUCGAUAUAGUCAGUGUCAAAAAAAUUAAUAAAAGUUGAUUUUGGAUGUGUGUAGGUAGGCUAUGGUCUCAUGUCCCUUAAAGACGCUGUCAGAGACAUGACUCCACCCCAUCCAGUCUGUAACAAAGAGGGAAAGACAGGUGAGGAGAUGGUGGACGGUUCAAAAGUUGUAGAGGGUGAAGUAGACGAAGUUAAUGUGGGAGGGGGUGAGCAGCUUCUGGAGUAGUUAUCAUCCAUUUAUCGUUAUCGAGGUGAACUGCUCAAAAUAUCGUGAUAUUGCUUUGAGGCCAUAUCGCCCAGCCCUACAAAAAGUAUAGUUUGCAUGUAAUUUUUCUGCUUUUUCCUAAAAAUGUAUCUUUAUCCUCCAAAAUAUCCAUGAGCAAUUUAAGUCAGUUUAUGUCAGGCUUUAUUUAAAUCUGAUUCUGUCAAAUAAAACUUUCAGAGCACAUUUUAAAAAAAGAGUUAACAGCUGAAAUCUAUAGUCACACUCUUAAAAUAAAGGAAAACUCGCCUGAAAACGAGACAUUUUCUGCUGAGCGUGGUCUGCUCUCACUCUCUCCUAUCACACUUUCUGACUAUAAGUAAUUAAUCACAAUCCUAGUGCUCACUUCCUCUGGGAGGAACUUUCUCCCCUCAGGAGAAAAGAAACCUGCAAAGGUCUGAAGGAUUUUAGUUCUCAGCAGCUUCACACGUCAAACAGAUAACACAUCAGGCUGAAGCAGACGACAGGUCAGAGCUCCUCUCUACAACUGACUGUCUUUGAAACCAGGUGUGUUUGAGUUCAGUGUUCAGCCUCAAUAGAAAGCAUCCCCUUCACAAAAAAUGUAACAUGAAUCAGUGAGAAAAAAUGUCCUCCACAUGAGCUGUGUUAGUGAUCGAAGCACACAGAGAGGAGAAACUGUGAACUUUGUAGAGAGUUUAUUCUGAUCCUGAGGCUGUAUGAGGAGUCAGACUGUUAUCAGCUCAGUGUUAUAACAGAGGAAGCUGACAUAAACUCUCAUCUUAUGACCCCAAAGUUAGACUUUUACUCCAGUUGGAGCACUUUUUCUUGUAACCUUUUUCAGAUCCAGCCAAUGAAUUAUAGUUGUCCACAAAUUCAAGUCUUUACUCUGACCUCGGAGUCCUUUUACUGUGUAAUCAAAAACAAGGGUGCAAAGCUUUGAAGAGAUUUGAACCAAUAAAAGAGAGUCAAUGGGUGCAGAUGGCACAUUUACAGCUCAGGUUAAGGACCCAAUCCCCUUCGGGUCACUCAUACACAAAAUUUAAACUCUUAGACGUCUUGUAAAGCACUUCACGUAAAAGCAUCCACGCUGAGAUAUGUUAAGGGCACACAUUAAACUGAGACUUUCACUUCAACCCUUUCCCUUCAUUGUCUCUGCACACAUCUAGGUGAUAUUUUCCUGCCACAUAUUCAACCUCCCUCACUUCUUCUUUUCUACCAUUUUUCUCCUGCCAUUCAUUCCCCUCUCUUAACGCCACCUUUUAAAGCAAAAAAAGUGCACCGCAGACAGGAGAGGGUUGAAAAGUUGGUUCUCAAAGGAAGCCAAUUUACGCCGAACAUAAAAGAGAAACAUGAUUUUUUUUUUAUCCCUGAAAGAGGCUGCCGAUGCUCUCUACAACAGACCAAAAAGCUGUCAAACCUUCCUUUGAAACCAAUGAGAUCACAUUCCUCAGUCACAGACGUUUUUAAAGAGGAAAAAGGACAAAAAUGUCAUCCGAAUAAUACUAUUUCAGGGCUGACAUUUAACACAGCACUUUACCUGAACAGAUGGGAACAUUUCCAGAGCUAUUGUGGGGUCUUUUUAGCUCUCUGGUAGAGUUUGUCUUGAAACCGAAGCCUCUGGUCUUCCUCUAAGGAGUCACAGCAUGAUAGAGCUCCACCGCAGGAGACCUCACAGGAGUGUAAGUGUCGUGUCUGACGUUUGUGUUGGGAAACAAAAGCAGAAAGGAUGUCGUAACAUGCACUUAGAAGCUGCGUGGUGUGUUUUUAUUUCCACCGAGUGUGCUGUGAGAGGUCAAAGGAUGAGUGUGAGUCAGAGCUCUGUUUUCUGAGGGAUUCGUUAUGUAUCCUCCAGGUAAUAGCGGUUUGUUUGUGUGUAAAAGAGAAAGGGAUAGAGGUUGGCAGAUUACACUUGGUGGCUCUCACAAGAAGCAGAACCUGCAGCUACUCCACCCACCUCCAACGUCACACACAGCUGAAAAGUAUUAGACCGCAGUUAGUUUCAGUUUAAUACGAUAUAUUAGCAACAAAGUAAUGGUUAUCAAAUUCCCCAAAGACACAAUGAUAAUGGGAUGAGUGUUGGGAGUAGAAUUGGGCAUUUUAAGACAGUCCUUUGAUCGAUUAAUCAUGUAAACUAAUGAUCAAUCAUCGAUAGGGUUGGGCAUCGAGUCUUGAGCAUCGAUGGGGACCGGGGCUAACAUUCCAAUUCUCCUAGAAUUGUUCAAAUUUUAAAAUCUUGAUUCCAAGUUUCGAUGCCGGAGUCCGCCGAACACCAACGAGGAAGAUGCCACUAAACACCAACGAAGAAGAAGCCGCCGAACGCUAACGAAGACGAAGCGUAUGAGACGAAUCCCCACAGAGAGAGAGUAGAGACAUAGAGAGAGAGAGUGCAUUUCAACCCACAGUGGCUGUGGUAAAAAGUUUGGCUAUUUUUAGCAGGAAGGAUGAACUCUUAUCUCAGUGCAACAUUAGCAACAUAGUUAAAUCAUACAAAGGAGGGUGAACGACCAACAUGAUUAAACACCGCAGGAUUCAUGGAGGAGAAAUACCUGAGUGCCCGUCUUUGACGCACUGCGCCGGUCUUUCCCCUCGCUUUUUUCACUUUGGCAGGGCGUGAGGGGGUAGGGAUAUGACGUUGAUAUAUGUCACCCCUUAUGUCGUAUGUCUACGCCAUACCAGGCGGGAGAUGAGCUAGCACUGUUUUCGGGGCUGGGAGAGAUGCUUAAGCUAGCAUUCACAAGAGAAUAAGCAUCACUACAUUUGGUCUUUUUGAAGAAUAUAUUUUCAGUAGGGUUGCUGAAUGUUUGGGGACAGUUCGGUGAUCCAUGACCAGUUUUUUAAUUGUUUUGUUAGCAGCAAACACGAUAGAAAGGAGCGAGAACCCCGGAUUGUCAAUAUCAUCUGGUGCAAAACUGGCAGGGUAUCAGCAGCAAGCACUCGCGACCAGAAUAACGUAAUCAGUGGUGCUGACAUGCCGUGCCUAUGAACUACCUAGCGCAGGUACACGCGUAUGUUGUGAGUAAGAGAGAAAGCAGCGAGCGGAGAGAUACAUUUUUCCUGAAAGUAAUGAAAUGAUUGCGAGCUUUAGUCUGGAAUCGUGCAAACUAUAUAUAUUUUUUUAAACGUAUACAUUAAUCCACAACCUCAAUUUCUGGGUUGGAAUCUUGUUGGCAGGGCAGGGCGCCAUGCCAAAUGCACUAUCAGGGAAACACUGUAUUAUGUAUUAUCAUUACCGUUUACAUUUAUCAGUGUAGCGAAACAAAUUUUCAAAGAAAAAUACACUGAAUGAACAGAUCUGCCAAAAACUGCUGUUUCAUUCUGGGUCUGAACUUUUUGUCUUUUUCACAGAAAAACUUGAGAUUAAACUAAACUUUAUCUCCAUCCUCUACUGACUUUUUCCCAUUUUGCUCCACUCUCACACUCACAUCCAUUUUAGUUUUCAGCCUUUUAGUACAGAGCACCUCCAUUUCAUCUGCUGCUUCAGGGAGUUAUUCUGUGAGUGUCUUUAAUGGUCAUCACUUCCUCGGGCUCUUCUUUUCUAACCCUUUUUUCGUCCAUGUCAGGCCCGUCUGCCUGUAAUUAGCCUCAAGUCAAAGACCAAAGAUGUCCUUCAGAUCCUCCUCUCUACGUGCGCAUAUUUCUAAAAAGUCUGCAGUAUGAAUUUCAUCCUCCUUUCAAAGCCAAACCUUUGGUAAUACAGUCACAUCUCUAGUGUGUCUGGAUACAGAGUAUGUUGUUUUUCAAAGGGAGUCUUUUAUGAAGCAACAGUGUCAGAUAGUUACCUUGUUGUCCUUUUGUUUUCUUUUUCCCACUCAUCAGCAGACGUCUGUCAGAAACUGUAAUUUCAUGCUGAAUGGUGCAAUGAGCUGUGGCAUGUUUUAGCUGACUGCAAAACAAAGACAAGGGGCUCUCACCUUACUGCCGUCCUGUGUGCCCCUGUGUGAGUGUGUGUGUUUGUGUCUGAGUGUGUGUGUGUUUAUUGGCUUUGAGUAUGUGAGUUGGACAGCAGCCGUGAGUAUCUGCACGCUCCAGUUUUAACGGCCACAUCAUGAACAAGGUCAGAGGACGAAGGCAUGUGGGCCCAGUGCCAGCCGGAGCGAGUUGUGACAUGAGGAGGACAAAGUCAUAAAGCAGCUUUGAUGUGUUUUACCAUAACUUUGCUCCAGGCCCAGCAUUAAAACUACAACUCUGGAUAAUGGCUCCUCCAGGGCCCAUCAUUCAAAAUCUCAUGUCCAACCUUUUCAGCACUGAGUGAAAAGUACACUGUACUUUUUUUUCUCAUUCAGAGGGUGAUUGAUGGAAAGUCAUGUGAUCUAGACCUCAGUUCUGCAGCCUUUAGAAAGUGAUUUCAGGUGCUCAUAGUGAACGUCAGCGAGUGAGAAAUUUUUCUGCUUGGCAUUAACUUGUCUAACAUAACGGCUGAAUUAACUCUGCAUGUCGCUCAGCACUUGUCAUGUAGCUUUCCAGUAAAGGCUGUAAUUUUAGGGUUUUAAGGGAUAUCCCAGCAUAAAAUUAAUUUAGGAUCAAACACACUGUAACACAGAGUUAGAGACCCCCUCGAGAGAUGAAUGUUGCCGACCUCCUACUUCUCUAGUUAUACCAACUUUAGUAACAACCGCACAAUAGCAAACACAGCGGUCUAUGUCUCUAUGCACAAACCUCAACCAAAACGCCACUCUAUAGCCACAAAUAAUGCUCAGAACAGCACCUAACUUCAUCAACAGUACAUAUAGGGUCCCAGCCACAGCACUAGCCACCAAACAUCUUUUUAGUUUUGCCUGAUUUCUUUAGCAAAGAGACGAAACACAACUCACCUACUCUCUUCCAGCAUCCGCUUGUUUGUAACGAGACCUCAGGCGAGUUCAUUACCGCAGCGGGGUGACGCAGCUCAAGGAAGAACAUUUAUGAUCAUUACUUCAUGGAAAUGCAAUCAGUCCGAGACGCUAAGGCAGAAGAACUACUGUGUCUGCAGUGCAAAAUGAUUGAUCUGGUGAGUAUUACUUAAAGGAAUUGAUGAAGUAAUGGUCAUAAAUGUUCUUCCUUGAGCUGCAUCACCCCAUUGUACUUCAUAAUGGACUGGCUGGAGGUCUUGCUACAAACAAGCGGCUGCUGGAAGAGAGUAGGUGAAUAUCCCUUUAAUUUUUGCCAUUUUUGCUAGCAUGAGUACAGUUUCUUUUGACAUGUUUAUAAUGAAAAUGUUUACAGUUCAUGCAUUUUCCUCACUGCUAUAGUUAUAGUCUCAUCUAUAGUUUAAUUAGCUUCAAAUAAUCAGUGCUGUUUGAGUGUUAAAUAUCAGAUGUUUCCAAGUUUUGUCCUCAAAGCCCCCUUAAAGUAUCUUAGAAAAACAGCCUUCCAGUAGGUUUUAAAAAUAAAAUAAAAGAAGUAAACUGUAAGAAGGUAUUUUUUUACUCUCUUGUAUCUACAGGCAGAACUAUCCAAACUGUUCAGCUUGAGUUUAAUAAAAGUUUUAGUGAAUAUGUGCAAAUUUAAUUUAAUUUGGACAACCACAGAACAAACAAAGUCCUCUGAGAUCUCUGUUGCAUCCCCCGGACCUGCUUUUGGUGACAAACAUUAUAUCAUCCUCUUUAGAUCCAUAUGAUUAUAUGUAAAUGUAUUUAAUUCUAGUAGCACAAAGCCCAAACAGACUUGUAGUUGUUAUAAUUUAGCUCCAUCUAUAAUACUCAGUCAUUAGUUUGAAUCAAUUUCAGACACUUUCAAGUAAGUUCAGUAUAAUGAAAGCAAUGUACUCUUUUAAACCUCCAGAGAUUUGGAGUUUUACGAUGGUAACAACACUAUGUUUGUGUUUGAGGCGACUAUUUCCUUGUUUUUAAUGUAGGAGGACGUUUUAUUAAAGUCAUUCUUACCAAAAGCAGAUGCUCAAGCUACAGCUUCAACUCUACAUUCACACUUUUUGCAUAAAUGUUUAAUGAAUUUACAAACAGACAAUUUUAUCCAAUAUCAUGGAACCAAAUUAAACUACAUUUGUAUUCAGUCCUUUUUGGGUUCAGUAGAAGAAGAACGAGAAAUAGAAAGAUCUACCAUUUGCUUUCCCUUUUAAAUGUUUUUGUAGAUUUUUUUUACACUAAUUUCCCCAAAAGAUAGAAGAUGUUAUUCACCGUAAAUGUUCAAAGCCCUGGAGGAAAUAUUGUGAUAACAUAUAGGGCUGUGCAUAUCAAAGCGUGUUGAAUUUACUUUCUGAGGUGUGGUUUUAUUGGUCUCUCACAGACGAUUUCUCCGCCUCUGACUUGUACAUAUCUGUAUAAACCAGUCAACAUGCAGUGCUCAAUCAGUUCAAGAAGUUGAAGAAUGUCCGAGUAAAGACUGGAAUACCAUAAUACUGGUUCAAUGACCUUAAAUCACUCUACACAGGACUCUACCCUUAGAUUCAGCUGACAAAGACUCUGGACAAGUUGUUUCAUACAGAAAGUAACAAAGAAGACAGAUUAAAAAAAUAGAAAUAAGUGUUACAUUUAAAAGUGGCCAAUGAGAAAAUAUUUCAUUUAUCUUUUUUACACCCAGAUUGACAUUGACUGACUACCUAAUCCUUAAGUUCAGAUACAUUACUCUAAACACAUCUCAAUAAAACCUGGGAGGGUAGCCUAUAAACCAUCAAAUAAUCAGACUUUCACUGCUGAAUAUGUUAAUAUCGUAUCUGCUAUAGCUAACUGACAGAGACAUCCUUAAGACAUGUUGACUGUCUUAUUUACUAUUUUUUUCUGUGAAAUUUUCCUUUUUUUGUUGUUGUUUUGUUGAUUUCUUUAAAUAGAGUUUGAGAAUUUCAAAGCUAUGAAACAAAUUGUUCCUUUUGUCUAUCCUGAAAUGUCACUACUGCGUGAUGAAACACCUGACAAACUUCUUGCCUUAUUUUUGGACGAGUCUUGGUUUACUUUCACCUUAAAAGGUCAGAGGAUAACAGCUUUCUUUCUUUCUUACUCUGGCCUGAAGAGACCUCUUGUAUUGUCAGCCUGCUGCCAUCCUCUCCCAGUAUCCACCAAUCCUUCAAGCUCAGGAGGAAAAGAGUGAGGAUCUGUUGACCUUUACUCGGAUGGAAAUGAAAGGCCUGAUAUCCAUCGCUCAGGAUCACCGUCCUCCUGCCUCACACAUUCACUCAGAACGAUCUGACAGAUGGAUAAAAAGAUGGAGGGAUGGAUGGAAAGUUUGCUGCAGACUUUACAGUUUGUUUUGGAACUAAACUGGCUAAUAGUUGUCACUCCUGAACCUCUCACUGUGUACAAACAGUUGUAUUUUCUAAAUCUUUGGAUUGGUCACAAUUCUGGACCGUGCAAACUGACAGCUAAAUUGUCCUGACUGAUUUAAUUUCAUCGCUUUGAAUAAACACAGCUGCAGUCCGCACCUGGUGCAUAAAUCCUCUGCUGAGUAAACAGUAAAUUACCUGCAUCUUAACAGGUCAAACUGCAUCUGUUCCCUUUUUCUUGAGCGUAAAACAUCAUUUUCAUAAAAGAUAAACGAUAUACGUGCAGAUAAAAAUCCCUUUAUAGAUGAAAAGAGUCGAUUAAAAAAAGGUAAAAGCAGUUUGAUUGGAACUGAAAUAUCACCGCUUUACUUCUUACCUGCCUCAUUAUCACCAGCGAGGUGUGCAUGUGCAUCACUGUGUUGAACUCGAUAUCUGCUCAAUGUGAGGUGUUAAUAUACCACCUGAUACCUGAUUGUUGAUGAUCGGGUAUCAAGGUUUAAUUCUCACACAACACUAUUGUGUUCUUACAUUUCAAUACAUGACAGCUCACAGCACGCGUAUUGAAAGUACACGUCGCAUUAAGGUUGACUUGUUAACACUCAACAUCACUGCGGAUAGGAGAAAAUAGGUAUGUAACAUUAAUUAUAUCUUUUUCUCACUUUCAUGUUGAACAGCAUCCAUAAUUUAGAUGAAUUUUUAUCAUUUCUCUGUCCCAAAAAUACAAACUUGAGCUGUUUCCACCUUUUAACUUUUAACCAUCUAGAACUGAAAUGGUAAAUCGAUUAUGUUUAUAAAGCUUCUUCUCCAGUCUGACCACUCAGUGCACUUAACCAAUCAAGAACACACAGUCUGACCAAUCAGCUGUCUGAAGACUGAGAUCAGCUGAUGAAAUGAAUCAAGUCUGGUGUGCUGCUGCUUGCUUGGUUGGAAGAAAAACCUGCAGCCACACCGGCCUUUUGUGGAAUCGUUUGGACAUGCCUGGUAUAGGCUACUAUAUAAAGCCGAAAACAUGCAGGAUCCGUACUGAGCGUGUUCGGUCCGCAUCAUGUAUCUGCUCCAUGGAGCAGCGCUGGAUAUCGCAUACAGGAUCCCCACUGUACAAUAGGACUUCGAAAUGACAUCUAUUUAACAUAUUUUUUUGACAGUGAGGUACAAAUGUGGACGUCAUUUCAACGUCUAAAAGAGGUCCGAUAAUGACGUCUAAAUCUUGGAUCUAUUUUGCACGUUGUGCCGACGUCUAGAGGUGAUCUUUGACGGACUGACCCAAUACUGACUCGAUCUGCACAUCUCUUCUACAUCCGAUGUUUGGAGGAGCAUAUUUGGAGUGUAGCAGCAGCGUAGCGCAGCCCCAGUCAGCUGGGCUCAGUGAAGAGGAAACAACGUGCUUUAUGCAACAGGUAGUUUUGCCUUUCUGUGGUCAAUUUCCUGCUAAUUUGGAUAUAAUUCAGUGACUGUUGAGCCUCUAUUAUAUGUGAAAAAGCAACGUUGUUUCAAAGUUUUGUUUUUUUGCAGGUUUAUUCGUGUUUAAUAAAGUAAACUGUUUCUUUAUGCGGUGCUGUUACCUUCAGACAGAGUUAGCCGUUCAAAGUCCUGUUGGGGUCCAAAUGGAUCACGGAUUGACCAUCGGAUUGUUCUGUGUUACUGAUAAAUCCAGAACCGGGGAAUAUUUGUCAUCCACACAAACUGAUACACAGUCGGGAGUUCACAUACGGUGUUUUAUUUUGACUUCCUGUCUAGAACGAUCUUCUCCGUGUGAAUUGACGCGUAUUGGAAGCGUAGAGCAGCAAAUAUAGACUCAGCGUGUAUCUCUUGCAGUGCUGCGUUCGAUACGGUCCUGCGACGGAGCUGAUACACGUCCUGUAUGGGAUGCUGUAUCGAUUAGAAUGGCAACCUAUUUGCUGUGUGAUACGCGAUGCUGACGUUAUGUGCUCAAUAUGGAUCCUGUAUGUUUCAGCCUUAAGGCUCCCAUCACUGGGCACAACCAGUGAGGGCAGCUUCUCCAUCAUGGAUGCUGUGUGGAUCUCAGGUCGUAUAUUCCCUCUUCACAAAGCUCAUUUAAAAACACCAGCCCUGCAAUGAUACCCUCUGCAUUAUUAAACGUGUGUGUGUGUGUGUGUGUGUGUGUGUGUGUGUGUGUGUGUGUGUGUGAUUCUAUCUACCUUCUCCCUACUGAAAGACUGAAGCUUGAAGUCCAUGUUUAAGCCCGAUCACAGGCCUGUGUGAGUUUCUCAUUAUCAUAUACUCUCAAAACCAUAGCCUUUUCUCCAAUAACUCAAAUGCACAAACAUACACACACUAAUUUUGGAGCCUCAAUAAAAGGGAACAGAUUUAAGAACCAACCUAAAACUUCCUCUAAUGAAGUUGUGCCAAUCUUAUGUGAUGAAAAGGAAAGCUGGUUGAUGCUUUUCUGAGCUUGUUUCCUGAUUCUUUUCACCGUAUUUGUUCAUGUAUACCCACAUCCUCUCAGAUAUCUUUCAAACCAAUCAAUUUACAAACAAGUGUGACUGUACUUCAGCCCCUCAAAGCGGGAGUGUAAUGAGCUUUUAGUGUCAGAUGGAGGAUCCAGAGCUUUCACUGUAAUUAGUCUCACUCUUUGUGAUCAUACAGAAUAAAAAGCUCAAGUGACAUGCUCAGCUUUUUGUUUAAGUGUCACCGCAAUAAACCUGGACUCAGUGCUUGAACAACGAGGAUGUGCAGAUCAGAUUGAAUUGUCCUAUCUGGAGGUGUCAGAGGACAAGUUGAUUAAUUUAACCUUACCGCGUGAGUCAGACAUCAAAAUGCUCCCUUUGCCCCCUCCUCUUGUUGGUGAAAUUGAAAUUGCGGCGAUUUCCUUCGAGGAGAAGAAGCUGCUAUGCUGAGAGGUAUACGUGUAAUCCUCCAUUUGUCAAGUUUUAUACCAUCAAAAGUCUCAAUGAACGCAAAGGCUUUUGUGCAAACCAGUGAGAACUGUCUUUUCCUUUGUCUCCUAAUAUGACACUUAAGGGGGUUUCACACCUUUGUCGUUUGGUCCGGACUUUCAGACAUUUCUGUUUUGUCCAAACCAUAAUGAGGUGUGAAACCUCCCCAGGACCUUGGUCCAGACCAAACAGCUGGACCUUGGUCCAACCAAAAGAGGUGGUCUCAGUCCAGACCAAACUGGACCAUGGUCUGGUUCAUGCCCAGUAUGUACCAAAGACAGGAAAUGACAUGAGGAGUACAAGUGUGCGUUAUGAUGUGUAUUGGAGAUUGUUCACAAACAGGAAAUUUUACAAUAUUGUAGACAAAGAUAUACCUCACUAUUGACAGGUUAUCUUUUCAAGAGUUGUACUUUCUCUCCAGAGUUGGUGUUGCAGUGGCUCGCAGGAUUGUGUACUUUCUUCUCCUUUUGUGUCGCCGACAAUAAAGUUGUCAUCUAAUGAUAAAAUUCAAAAGACGAACUCAGACCAGCCUCAUGUACGGCUCUUUACGUUAUCGCUGUUGGUAGUUAAAAAUCAACAAUAAUAUGAUGUGGAGAAUGACAAGUUUAUUCAUGUUUACAAUAUUUAAGACCCACGUUAUUCAAUGUGUUGACGUUAGAUGCCCGCCAGCCAGCCUGGACUCUCAUGUGUGGAAACACCCUUAAUCCCUUGUUUAUGUGAACAUCGAAUGGGCAUAUAAACUAAUAAGAGUAUACUGAAGAAUGUAGAUAUUUAGGAUAAAGUCGAUUCUAAAUGUAAGUCGAGUCAGAGAUGACAGUCAUUUAAACACUCUUGACAUUUCAUUAAUGUUUCCUCAGUGCCUGAAGACUUCUUCUCGUCUGACUCUCACAUUUUCUUCCUCCAGAGAGCUCAGCGCGACUCUGAAACUUGUUAAUCGUUUUUUCUUGACAACUAGGAGUUGUACUUGAAUGUGAAAUAUUUAAAAGCUCUGUGGGGCUGAGUGUGGAAUCGAUCAGCGUUCAGAGCACAUAUGAGACGGGGACGAGCUGCAGGGGCCUCUGGGAUGUGAAAAUAUCGUGUCGAGCUUUGUGGAUUUUCAAUGCAAUCAUACAUCUGAGGCAGGAGAUUCGUGUUGAUCCUGCCAGACGCUCUUGUCCUCAUCCUUCACUCUUAAAGCUGAAAACAUUUACCCUGAUACAGCCCAGAGAAGCGUCAAACCUCCACUCUUUUAGGCGUUGAGAGAAACUGAUUGACUCAAUAAAAUUGAUCAAAAAAGAUGCAGUUGAGGAUGCAGAAGUAAAAAUUGUAUUUUGCAUUAAUGCAGCACCAUUGGUUUAGGUAUCUCACAGAUUUUAGGAGAAUGUAAUUUCCUCCUCCUGCUGUUCAAAGAGCUUGUUGUGCAUCGCUGCUCAUGAAAUGCCACUUUGCUGCCAGAUAGUAUGUUUUCAUCUGCUAAAAUUUGUACUUUCUGGUUCAUAUCCUCCAAGUUUAUAUCGCUCAACCCAUCUGUUCUUUAUCACAAGAGCUCUGCCUGUUCAAUUAAAAGAGGAACACAAAGAAAUAAAGAGGCAAAACUUUUCAAACGAUCGUGUUUAUUUAUCAUAAACCAAGCUAAUAUAAACUUAUAGUUAAAUUUACGUAUAUUUUCAGGUAGUGCUCUCUCGCCUCUGGCUAUUGUCAGUGAUUGAUUGUGUCUAAUAUUCCUCCAGACUGUCCAUCGCUGCAGGGUUUCAUGUAGUGUGAGCCCUGUGUGUCCUCUAAACAAACACCUCAUGAGAUUAGACCUCGAUUCAAUAUCUGUGGCUGUGAUAGAUCAUCAUUCAUACAAGCUGUCUGAUCGACCAAACAGUGUGUGUGUGUGUGUGUGUGUGUGUGUGUGUGUGUGUGUGUGUGUGUGUGUGUGUGUGUGUGUGUGUGUGUGUGUGUGUGUGUGUGUGUGUGUGUGUAAAAAGUGUGUGAUUGGGAUUGGCAGAGAGAAACAGAGAGACCUGCAGCUGCCGGUUUUGUUGAGAUGAACCUCCCUCACCACUUAAAGUCAUGUGCAUCACUCUGCAUGUGUGUGUUGUGAUGUCUGUGUAGGGGUGUGUAUCCUCUCCUGUGGGCCUCUGACUCUUUACACAGUGAGCUGGCAGAGGACAGGACAGCCGCCACAGAAUAACAACAAAAGAAAUCAAUAAAGUCUCCAAACAUCAUCUGAUUAUUCAGCAGACAAAGCGGGAGCUCUGUUUAACACCCAGAGCUUUGUAAACUGCAGCUACACCACACAUCUUCACUUUUUUGAACACAUUUGAUGAGGGUUGUUUACCACAAAUGUUUAAAGGAAAGACUGGAGCUGAGUGACUUUCCACAAACUAUCCUGAUUUCAUCUCCUGCUCUUUUAUGUUCAGACUAUAGCUGUGAUGACUCUUUUUGUUUAGUCCCUUCUGCUGUUUUUCUGCGAAGAUGACAGUAAACUUGUGGAGUUAUUUCCAUCUCAUCAUCCUCACGUCCUCAUUCUUUCUAUACAGAUGCUCCCGCAUGUGACCUGGAGAUAACCUAGUAUGUAACUGAAGAGACAGCUUGUAAAACGCAUGAGCUUUAAAUUUCCUAAUAAAAAUAGAAAGUUUUGACGUGCUGAAGCAUUCAUAGUUGAAUGUAUACAACAUUUGAGUUGAUGUUUAACUUGUUGGCCUCUUAAGAGCCCCUGAUCGUCAAGCACAUUCAGAGAUUUGAAGAAGAAACAGCUUUUCUUUCCUCCUUUCCACCUGAAAUCUUUCCUUUUGUCCCCUUUUGGUAGACAGAUCUUCAGCUGGCUGAGACUGUUCUCGUAUUGAUUCUGGCUGCUUUGCUCUCUUUCAUUGCUUUUGUAAUAUUUUCUACUUUCCUCCUAUUUUUAAAGACUGAGAGUUUGCAAAGGUCAACCUUCCUCACAUAAACUCUGACAAUAAACAGCAAAGAUGACAGUAAUUAUACAGAGGGAAAGUCUUUUUCCUAACACUUUCUUCCAUUGUUGGUUUCCUGAAGCUUUGCAUGUGCUCUUCAGCUGACUGAAAACAGGUGAAAUCAAACACAGGACCACCAUAAUCUCCUGCUACUGCUACGUGAACUAAGAGUACUCAUAGUCGCAUGCUAAGAGGCAGACACAAAGUGAUGAUGUGUACUUUCACAAUUAUAUCAGCAACCCACAAGAAAAAUUAAAAAAGGACUUUACAGGUUCAAUGUCUCUCAACGGGAGAUGAAAUUGUUGGACUGCUGUUGCACCAAAACACUCAAACUAUCAACAGGUGACAUACUGAACAUGAAGAACCAAGACUUUGAAAUUUUGAUUUGAACACGCUGAGCUAAUUUAGGGCAGAAAAAAGAGGUCUUUGAUUUUAACCAGUGUACCUGUUGUGGGUCACUGCACAUUCGGGACUACAGAGAAACUUUUGACCAUCACAAAUAUCAAAUUAAAGUCAUCCAUUCAAGUCAUUGUUUUAGAAAAUUGACCUUUAUUCAAAUGGGACGUGGAUAUUUUUGCAGAAUAUUUUCUCAUGAUUUGCAUCUUUUGUACGAUUUUAGAAACAGUUCCUGCUGGCUGUGAGAUGUACAUCUUUUGUUCAGUAAAUCUGUUUUUAUAGAUAAAAGUUCAUCUGUUUCUGCUUAGAUUGUGACAAACACUUCCUACUAUGCAGUUUCUGAAUAGUCAGAAUUCACCGAAACAGGAUAUAACCAGAGACUUCACAGGUUAAAGAGCAGAGGCGCCUCUCAGACACUCAGUUAACAUUAAUCUUUGGUCACAUCCCCGGAGAUUAUUGCUCUAUUCUUCAGAAUUGAACAUUCAGUAAGUGCUAUACUUUGAUAACAGGUGCAAUCGACCACGCUACGCUGCAGUGAUUCCCAUAACGCUCUGCAGGCUGCAGUUUUAUCACAGGUCAUCGCUCUUUACCAGUUACAAAUGCCAGGACAUAAACACGCUCCAACACAUUCGUUCUCACACAAACACAUGCAAGGGCGCUCUCUCUCUCUCUCUCUCUCUCUCUCUCUCUCUCUCUCUCUCUCUCCCUUGGUUGUACAAACACAACAACAGUUAAGGGUUCAGACAGUAAAACGGCUGGACAAACCUGGACUGUGUAUUUUCCCAUGAUAGCCUUAAUUUAAAGACGACUUAGCAGACUCUAAUUAUCUGAAUCCCACCUUUUAGCGUCGCCUCCUAUCAUGCUGCGAUCGCUAACCAUAUGAGACCCUAUAAAAGGUAAAGAAAUCAUAAACAGAGAAAACACUGAAGACUUCAUUCAUCACAACUUUUUUAUAAUCUGUGCUUUUCUCGCCUUGCUUCUGUAUCACCACCUACACAUCAGAUCUAUUCCACGAUUUGUUGAAGUUUAAGUUGCACCCACUGACAGCUGUUUCAAAUCAACAAUGGAGACAUCAACAACCCACUUGUUGACUAUCUGAAAAUAAUCACAUAAAGUAAACAAGGUCGAUGGGGCUGACGUAGUUACACAGGUACUUGUUGAAUGUUACGUAUUUAUCAAACCUCAGAUUUCAUUUAUAUCCUGGUUUCUUCUCAUUGUGUUCUCAGAUUUGUGUGUUGAAAUGAAAUGACACGAGACAAGGCCAAACAAACUAGGAGUGGUUAGUUUCACAGCAGGAAACAACAAAGGCAAGAAUCUACUUUGUGUGAUGAAAUUACAACUAACAGGCUUACAUUGAUACAGGCAUAUGUGAUGUUGAAGGAGGUUACAUACAUCUCCAUUUCACUUUGACACUCACCCUGUCUUUUUUCUCUCUCUGUUUGUCUGUCAUUAAAAGCUGCCCACAUCCAGCACAAAGAUCCACACAAACGCUUAUUUCUAUUCAUGAGUUUGUGCUAAGCUCGCCUUGCAAAUGUCAACAUUGAGAUUGAUCUCUCAUGAGGCCUUUUUUGCUCAGCUUACCUGAACAAAAGACACAUCCAUAUUUACCAGCCUCGGCUUCUGUCACACACUGCAGUCCAAGAACACACUGUUACAGGCUUUUACAUCUCAGUCACCUUAGACUGGAUCACCUGCACUGAAAUUCUCCUACAUGGUCCAUCAUUUACAUCUUUCAGCUUGUUUUGAAUGUAGAUUAUUGUAAGUCUAAAUCAUAUAGGUCCUGUGAAAUCAUCCGUAUUAAAUGACACUGUUUGAAAUGAUACCUCUAACAGCUUUUGUUGUCAGAUUUUGUUUCAUAGCCAUCUAAGAGUCCCCUGAUUUAGUUUUAACUUUCAUAUUCAGUAAUGUAAUGAUGCACAGGGUUAAACAAAGAACAAGACCCAAAUGCAGACAAAAAAGGAUUUAAUUAAUUCAUUAACUAAAUAAAAAAGAAACAAAAAGAGAAAAUCCAAAAGGCAAAAUCGACAAACAAACAUACAAUGAACCAACAAGGACAGAGGGGAAGAAGACGGGGACAAUAUACACACUGGGUAACGAGCAACAGGUGAGGCAAACGAGACACAGGUGAAACUCGUUAGUGAUUAACGAAGGAAGGAAAACUAGGGAAGUAAAACCAGAUUUGAAACACAAGGAAUCAACUACUAUAAAAUAAAAUAGGAAACACUGAAAACUUAACGAAAGAAUAAAACACUGAAAACAUGAGGGAGGGUCAAACAAAAACUAAAAACUAACAAGACAAGACUACAGGGGAACAGGAGCUAUAGGGAACAGAAACACUCGGGGAAAAUACACAGAAAAAACACUCAAAUUAACAACACAAGGAGAAAACUAAGUUCACAAAAUAAAUCAUGGCAGGUAAUGCUUUUUUUCCUUUGGCUUUUUUUUCUAUGGUAAAGGACAAACAAAGCUAAACAUGUAGACUUUAUUAUUCAGUCAAAUGUUACUGUUUUUAAAAAGAGAGUUCAGACAGCUACAUUGAAAUGCCCCCAUAUCUGGAUUAGCCGACAAAAAGCCUUGACCCUGAAAACCCCCAAAAGACCUUACUCUACUCGGGAAAGCGCUGACUCCACAUUUGGUGUCCGCCUUUGUUAACUGAUCUGGGAAAAGGAGACCUUUUGUUUGUCUUCCUGUUAGCAGAGGAAAUGAAAAAGCUUGACUUCUACCACAGCUCAGCUGUGUUUCUAACCACUGUUAGUUUCUGACAUGUCUUGCUAGGCUUGACUGCCCUCCAUCAAAACCACAGGGGAGAUCUACCGGGUGCUAUACUCUCACCAGAGGAAAUGUCUCACCUUCCAGUAAGAAGGAGGAGGAGGGGGAGGAAAAAGACCAGUCAGAGCAUCUUCUUCCUCUGUUAUCUGAGAUUUCUGUCAAUUAUUCUUUCAGUGACGAGAGUCUGCAAUGUAUAGAAGGUCAAACAGGUGUUUUUCUAGUAGUUGCCGUUGUCCUCAGUACAGCAGAGUGGAGCUGCUGACGUCUGCUCACAGGUUGGUCCUAAAAAUAGUUGUAGAAAUAUGUGAUACCAUGUGAUACCCAUAAAUUGGUGAUUAGACUGAUAUUUCCAUUCUUAAAACCACACUGGUGGUCUUCAUCGGCAAGUUUCAGGCUGAAAUAAUCCAUAAACUGUUGGGUCAGUUUGCGUAAACCUUGAUGAGUUUGUGAGUUGACAAUGAAAGUCUCGGGCAGGAUGUUUGUUCAAGCUUAAUAGCAAAAGUGCUAACCUCAAACCAUGUUGGCGCAAAAAAAUAAAUUUUUCUCUGUAUUUAUGUAUUUAUUUAUUUACCAUUUUAGAGACCAUAAUAAAAAAUAGCAAGUCCUGCUUAUACAGAAUAGAGAACAGUAAACAUAAAUCUAAUCAAUCAAGCCACAGGGGUGUUAUAUAUGACUGUUACUACAGUUUGCAGUUUUGUGAUCAUAGUUUUAAAUAAGGCACAACAUUUCUCAGUAUUGAAAGACAAAAAAAUGGAAAUUAAGGAGAAAAGCGUGAAGCGUACAGACUUAUAUUGCUUGAAAAAUCCUCUGAGAACACAAAAUGUCACAACCUUUCUUUCUCUCUCUCUCUCUCUCUCUCUCUUCGAAGUGAGUCUGUCGUGUCUCUGAAGGUCUCGUAGCUUUUUCCUCCUUGACACACAAAAUUGAAGAUGACAGACUGAGAAGUAUUUGGUCCAGGACACCAAAUGGGGAAAUGUAACUUGUUUGUCUGGUGGUUCCUUUCGAAACAGACUUCAUAAAGGUUAUGAUUUUGUGUCUUACCUACUCCAGGAAUAUUCUGAAAUAUUGGAGGAUGACAUUUAAGUUAUUUCUCAUCAUUAGAGUCCAGGAGUUCGAUUCAUGAAGUCUCAGUCCCCUCUGAGCUUUAUUUCUUUAACAUGCUCAGUUUCCUCUUUUAAUCCCUGUGACGUUUAUUGGUUAUAAAUACAGUAUUCAUGCCGUAUAUUAUAUUAAAACCAGAUACCUGCUCUCUUUUAAUGUGCAGUGAUUAUUAUCGGCUUGGGAGUCAUCACUAAAACAUAUUCUCUCUUACCUAAGUAAAGGUCAAAUUAUUUUCACGGUACCUGAAAUGACCUCAGGUAAACCACGAAAACACAUCAGGGGUGUGUUUUUCCUCACUAAUGACAGAAAUGUUAUGUUCAGGGUUGAUAUAUAUAUUACCUAAACCACUUGUUCUCUCUUGAAAAUGCACAAUAAGUAAUUCUUCUCGCAGGUUGGCGUCCUUCGCUGCACCUGGUCCAGAUGUGAGUGUAUUUUUAAGAAUACGAGUCUGCAUUUCUAGCACCUGGAAACCUUGGGCGAGACACCAGAAGGAGACAGAUGGCUGUGUGUGUGUGUGCGUGUGUGUGUGUGUGUGUUGUUUGAAGGUUUUUUAAAUUGCUUUGCCAAGUGUUUUGUUGAAUAGCAUUGGUUUAAUGAGCAUAAGCAGCAGUUUGUCCAUUAAAAAAACACAUCACAGCCAGUUACUUUUCUGUGUUUUUUCCCCCUCUAGAUAUUAGAAAUCAUGUGGUUAAUGUAAUGAGAGGAGAGGAGGGGAUGAUGCCUAUGAUAUGAAGGAUUCCUCUGCUGUCAACAGCUCAGACUCGGAGGAUUUAGGCUCAGAGCGUAAGCCGCUGCUGAAUGAGUCAAGCACGGUGUCCCAAAGGAUACAGCUUCAUAUUUUCCAUAUUGUGUUUGCUUUAGGUGUUUUUAUUGAAAGUUUUCAAGGUGUAAUGGAUUAAAAAAUGUACUAUAUCACCAAGUGCUUUGACUCAAGGUAAGCAAGUGUUUGAAAUAUAAGAAACCCUGCACAUAAUGACAAAUAACAGUAAAAUAAAACAAUUUUUUCCUUCAAGUUUUGACUGCAACAGUUACAAGAAAAAUAAAGGAAAAAAGCAGUGAGAUAUGAAUGAUGUGAUAAAUCCAGAGAGAAAUGGUAAAUUAAUUCAGACUUGUUGAGAUUUUUCACAUUUCUCUAACACUGUAGAAACUCGCUCAUUUACACAAGUUUCACGUCACUCUGGCAAAAAUAAACUAGCAAGUGUCAUGUAACCCUGUGUGUGCCGUGGUUAAAGUUGUCAAGGUGCAAUAAUCAGCGAGAGAAAUUGUCACAUGACAGAGGAGAGGGGAGGGUGGCGGCAGCUGGUGAGAAGUUCUGCUCCACUGGAAAAAGUCAUGAUGUUAAGGUGUUUAAAAAGGAGGAGGCAGGAUCAUAUCAUAUCCAGCCAACUUAAACUUAGGGCAAGUUUGAAUCCAUUUAGUUUAACGCAGCAGGCUCAUGAAAUCAAACUGUCAGACUAAACACUUCAAGUUUCUGUGAUUCCCUUUUAAUUGUCUGUUCACGUCUGUUUCUAUUGUGUAGAUGCCUCUAUAAUGUGAGGAAGUUAGCUUACGGACGCCAUUUUUUUCUGAUCAAUACCAGUGAGUCAAAAUCAAACAGAUCUCAACUCUCGGCAGGGUGUCAAAUUGUUAGACACCCUGUCAAGAGAUGAAUGUUGCAGACCACUUGCUUCUCUAGUUAUACCAACUUUAGUAACGGCCACACAAUAACAAUACACAGCGGUCCCAGGAGCCAUGAGCUCAACCAAAACGCCACUCUAUAGCCACAAAUAAUGCUCAGAAGAGCACCGAACUUCAUCAACAGCACAUAUAGGGUCCUAGCCACCAAACAUCUUUUUAGCUUUGCCUAAUUUCUUUAGCAAAGAGACUAAACACAACUCACCUACUCUCUUCCAGCAGCCGAUUGUUUGUAGCGAGACCUCAGGCGAGUCCAUUACAAACUGCUGUGGGGUGACGCAGCUCAAGGAAGAACAUUUAUGAUCAUUUCUUCAUGGAAAUGCAAUCAGACCGAUACAAUAAGGCAGAACUACGGCGUCUGCAGUGCAAAAUGAUUAAUAUGGUGAUUAUUACUUCAAGGAAAUAAUAAAGUAAUGAUCAUAAAUGUUCUUCCUUGAGCUGCAUCACCCCGCAACAGUCGAUGGACUCGCCUGAGGUCUCGCUACAAACAAGCGGCUGCUGGAAGAGAGUAAGUGAGUUGUGUUUAGUCUCUUUGUUAAAGAAAUUAGGCAAAGUUAAGAAAAUGUUUGGUUACUAGUGCUAUGGCUGGGACCCUAUAUGUACUGUUGACAAAGUUAGGUGCUCUUCUGAGCAUUAUUUGUGGCUACAGAGUGGCGUUUUGGUUGAGCUCAUGGCUCCUGGGACCGCUGUGUAUUGCUAUUGUGCGGUCGUUACUAAAGUUGGUAGAACUAGAGAAGCAAGCGGUCGGCAACAUCCAUCUCUCGUCGGGGAGUCUAACUCAGUGUUACGAUGUGUUUGACCCUAACUUAAUUUUACACCAGAAUAUCCCUUUAAAGGGUGUUGCUUUGGCCUGUUUAUCAUUGAAUCCUGCUCAGUUUGGUCUCUUUGUGUUUGUGAAAAUAGAGUUUUGGAAAAUGUUGGAAACCUCUCAGUGCGGUAGUUGAAGAUAAAAUCUGCUCAAUCAAUGAUAUUGCGCAAAAGGGGAAUUACAACUAUUAUUCAGAAGGCAUCUCUGGGAAGCAUGAAAAUCACAGAAUCUUCAAUCAUACAAAGAGAGGAAGAGCAUCGAGGCUCCGUUACCUCUGCAGAGAGCCUGUAAUCUGUUAUUAGAGACGAGCAGCACAAUAAGAACGAAAUCAGCUGAGCAGACCAGGAAAUAGAGCUAAUCUUUGGGAAUCUCUUUUAUGAGAGAAAGGAGCCCUUACCACUGAGAAUAUCUGCACUGAUACAUCUGAUACGUAACAGGAGAAAAAAAAAAGAUGAACACUGUUAUUGCCAAAGCUUUCUCCAAUAAAAAUAUGUCACAUUAGGAGCGUGCCAUGUGGAUUUGAUAAAUGAUGCAACAAGGUGUACCCAGUGUGUGACACAUGAGCACAAAAGGGAUCAAAAAUUAAAUCUCCAGUCUUACCUCCUAGCUGCAGGUUUGCACAGCACAUAGGUUGAUAGAAAAAUAAUGUUUACUUCCUUAUCUGUGUGCACGUGUGUAUUUGUAACAUGCCUCAGCACAAGAAAUCAGGUAAAUAUGCUGCAAGAAGGACAGAGUCUGGUCUCACUGCUUUGCUUUGUUGUAUAUAUUUUGGAAAACAGGACAGUCCUAAUGAAUUUAACAAUUUUUAGAUGAAAUCAGCUUUUGUGCUUUGAUCUGCCGUCUGUCUCACUGAGAUCAUUGAGUAUUUAAUAAUUUCAGAGAAGUUAAUGUGAGGGAGGAAAAAAAGAAGAAUCCUACUGAAGUCAAAAGCCUAUUUAAAGAUAAAAGGCACGUUUAUUAUUUUUCUGAAGGGACUUCAAUUCAGUGCUUACAUGGGAACAUUGUCUUUGAACGUCUCUCAUACUCUGCGUUUGGUGCUAAAAUAUAAAAAGGAUGAGAAUGAAUUUAUCUCUGAGCCCCUGGGGGUUUCCUCUCCACUUUUCUUGUUAUUUAGAUUAAACGGAAUUAAUUUUGCAUCUGCUCUGUGAGAAGUUUCAUUGUAAUUUUAAAGUGUUAAUAUAAAAGACAAGAAUGAAGACUGGUAAUUUGGUUACAGAGUAAAAGGGACAGAUGAGAGGCUGACUGAUGCUUAAUUGUUGCAGUGGAUUGAGGAAAUAGCAGCCAUUUGUAAACGUAAAUGUAAAAUUUAAGGGAUAACUAUUAUACAACAAACACAAAACCAAAAAACUUUAAGAAAAAUGUCACUGUAGUAUUUUUUUUUUUUUCAACUUCGCAACCCCAAAAACAUCAAAAUAACUGUAUCUUGCUAGGUCAGAGUAUCAUUAAGUAAUUUGUCAUUCAUGUGUGAUACAAAACCCAAAAAUAGAAUUUAACCCUAACCCUUAUCGAUAGAAACAGGGUGAAAAAACAACAAAUGAGGAGUGAGGAGGACGGCAUACUCUCAGCAGCUCAGUUUCUUGCAGCAGGCUCUGCAUGGCAUACAAAAGGUGAUUAAAACCUACUUAAUAUAUGAGACAUUGUAUACACCAGUUUUAAGUGUUACAACAAUUCAUCUGAGAAAUGUAAGAGAAAAAAAAGUGCAAAAUGCAAACAAACCAGGCAGCUUUGACCCUAAAAGAUUGAUAAAAUAAAAUAAAACUACCUAUUUCUGAAAAUUGGUUGCUAUAUAAAUAUGACUCAUUUUCAGGAUAACAAAGGUGGAACAGGAAAUAUGUGACAAAAUGUGACAGACCUUCAGUGUUUUCUGCUACCAGAAUAAAGAGAGAUGGCGUGAUUAUUGUGGUAUUGCAAAUAUUUUCGAAGGAGAUUAUUUUGUUUUAAAAGCAGACAGUAAUACGGCGCCUUGAUCAAUCCCAGAAAUUAUUUACAAAUCAAGAUGCGAAACAAAAGCCCUGUUCCUGUCAUGCAUGCUGUACUUCAACACAGUAUCACAACACUCCUGAGCUUCUUUUUUUUUUACAUCCAACCAGAACCAGAAAAAGUUUUGUCUUUGGGAUUUAACUUUAAUGUGUGGUUGAAGCACUUAUACUUGUCUGUGUUCAUGAUAAGAUUUGUAAAAUUGCCUAAUUAGGGACAUUGUUAUAAAACAAUAGCGUGCUAAUUGUCUCUAUAUUGUGUCUAUGUCUUUGUGUAUUAAUACACAUAACUAUUUUCUGUUUACAAAGCAUUUGUCCUCCUACCUGUGCUGCAAAUUGCAGCUAAUAUUAAUCACCAUAAAGACUGAACACAAACAAUAAAAAUGAAUAAUGUAAAAAUAACAGAUAAUAAUUAGGUCAUUCAUCACUAUCCAGAUAACAUAUACUGGUAACAUGUUUAUAACGCUGGGUGUGAAUGAGCUCCCAAACCUGAAGAGGGGCUCAUUAUGUACAGGUCCGACUUCCUGACUACCUGAAUCUCUCCCUGGUUGCAGAGCUGAGCUCAUUUUUUACCUCUGUUGAUGCUGCACAGCACCACUGGAACUACAGAAUGAUUCAGCUGCAGAAAAAAUCCCAAACUAACAAGGAAUUGUUUUUCAAGAAUUUAUCUUUUGGAUUCACCAGAGUUGAGCUUUGGGCCUCUGCAAGGUUGAUGCUUCAUUGCAGCUCAUUCCCUUAUUUACCAAGAUGACAUGUAGACAACAGUCUGGUUAGAAAGACAUGACUUUAAGGUGAGAAAAUUCACAAAAUCACAUGUGGGGAAACCUUUCAAAACAGUUCUCUUUUAAUUGAAAGGAAGAUUAAUUUGAGCAAAUUUGAUAAAUAAAGGAUGUUUUGGUAACCCUUUCUUUUACGGUACACUUAUUACCAGGUAAUUAACAGGUAAUUACCUAGUAACAACAUGAAAUUAUCUGGUAAUUACAUGAUAACUACUAAGCCAAUACUGUCUAGUUUUUCUUUUUUCUGUGCAGAUCCAUUUUCAAAAGCUAUAUGGGGUUCUUAUUUCUACGAUUGACACUAGAUACAGCCUAUGGGUGUGCAAAGAUUGCGUAGCAAUACGCUGUUUGAGCCGAGCAUUAUCACAGCGACUCAACCGCCAAAUACCUACAAUGCUACUGUAAUUAUCAUGUAAUUACCAGAUAUUUCAUGUUGUUACUAGGUAAUUACCUGGUAAUAAAUAUACCGUAAAAGAAAGGGUUACCAAUGUUUUAGCUAUACAUAUACUGCACAGGUUAUCAUGAUAGCACAAAGAAAUGAAAACAUUACGACCCUGCCCCUGAUAUUAGAAACAUCUAAAACAACGUCACAACCUGGUAAAUUGAGUGAAAUUCAUGGACAUUUCAGCAAGUGUUUUUCUGAUUUUGAUGCAAUGAAAGACAAAGUGAUUUUUCAAUGAAAUUUCAUUUUAUUGCAAUUGUGUCAGGGAGAACUUGCAAACAAUACGGCAUCUUCAUUGAUAUCAGUUCACUCUGAAGCAGGAUUUUGCCCCAUGGUUGCACGCGCUCCUAGUAUUGUUUGUACACAAGGAACCCGUCAAUAAACGUAUCCCAACUAAUUUGUUCACUCGAACUGUGAUUGUUUCCAAUCCCAAAUUAUUUACCAUUUAUCUGUUUGAUUGUCUUUACUCAUCAUAAAUCUUGACACAUGACAGAUUAAAAGAGAAUAGAACCUAAAAGUUCAGCUCCAAAGGUUAAAAUGUUCACCAGCCAGGGCAAGGGAGCCUGAAAACGCCCAUGAAUACAACACUAACAGGGUCAAGAGUCAAGUGAGCUCAGGCAUUCAUGAGUCUAAUGGAAGCAGGCAGAAGGCCUGACAGAGCACGCUCACUUUUCAAUCUCAGUGACCUGAAUUCACAGCCCGCAGGUAAGCGGUUAUCAGGGUCAUGUCAGUGUGUGUGAGGUAUAUGAGGCCAUUUGUUGUCAACUUUUGGCUUUUUUUAUCCUGCUAAAUAAUGAUUUUAUCCAUCCUUUUGACAAACAGUAUACAUAAAAUAUAUCAUUUUAUUAACGCACUGAGACAGUUUAUUGUAUAAGCUCAUGUUAAAGGUGUCAGCUGCUCCUAUAUCAUGCGACAGAAUAGAUCUGUGUUUAUAUUAGAUGGUAAAUUAAAUACAACAUGCAGACAUUCAUUUACUGUGUGAUAACAUUGCUGUUGUCAGUGCUUCAUUAUUUAGUAACACGGAUUAUGUUAAAUAAUGCAGAGAUCAGAUCAGUCCCACAGUCUCCGGGAUCCUCUCUCAGGAUGUUGCCUUUAUCACACACCUGUCAGCACUGUUGUCAUGUUAUCACCGCCUCCAGAAAGAGAAGCUGCUUUAAUCUUUACACUGCUGAGUCAUCCAUUACAGCAUUUCCCUUUCAAACAUACCGGAGGGUAAUCUAUGAGAGACUUAAGAUGUAAUUUAGAUGAAACAAAUCAGAGACUUGUUGGGUUAUUUUGGCUCUAUCUGGUGAUGUUUAACCAAAUGGACUUUUUGACUUUUCUUGGUCUGACUUUGUCUCGAAAAGUCGGAGCAGAAACAUCCCUCUUUGCCCCACCAGAGUCAGUUCAUGUUUAUGUGCUCAUGUCAAAAUCAGAGGGUGAUGUAGAGAGAGGCUUUCAGUGUGUCUGAUUGCAUUAGUGAACGACUUGUCUCUCAUUGACGUUUCCUCUCAUUUUUCUAAUUGACCCGAGCUGGAGACGUUAAAGCAGGAUGACAGAAGGAGCAAACAGAGAGAGAGAGAGAGAAUCAAGUCGAUGUUAGAGGAGAAAAAUAAGAGACCCCAUCUCUUCACACUUAAUGUUUUAAAACUUACUUCUCCUCCUUUUUCUUUUCUUUCUUCACUCCUUCCCUGACAUGGCAUAUCAUUACAGAGCCAAUCCUCACAGGGGCUGCACUUGUCACUGAAUGAAUCACCCCGACGUAACUGGGUUACAGCAUAAAGGCCCUUCCCUGCUCUGUAAAAAUUACACACAUACUGUAAAUGUGCACACUGCAAUGUGUGAAAAAUUAAUUUUGAGAUGUGGAGACAGGGUCCCGUAUGGAUGGCUGUAACCACAUCACUCAUGCAGAAUGGCCAUUAGAUAUUUUUUAUGCAACCCACACACAAGCAGCUUAUUUGUCUGUGUAUCCUCAGCCAUUAAUGGUAAAUAAUGGUCUUCAUAGGAAAUACAUAUAUCAAUGUAAAUAUUGUUUAAAUGACUCAUUCACAAUCCUUUUCGACUUCUUAUAUUUUAACAUGAACAACAAACACCACCUCUCUUUAAGUUCUAUUGUUCUGGUUCACUUUGGUUGCUUUAACAUAAUAACUACUCAACUACAUCGCUGUUGGAAUGGAAUAGAGGUUAUAUAUGGAAUAAAGAAAGAGCACUUUCACACAUUAGGCAAUAAAACACAGUGUAACUGUGAAAAUGGGAAUCAUAGCCAACAUCUUUUUCUCAUGUUAAAUUACCUACAUUAUUUAUAGAAGUAAACAAAGUCUUGUCCUCAUUUGUUUCCUGGCAUGGAGAAUAUUUCGUGUUAGUUGUCAAGGACAUGUGUUGGCGUUGAGUAUAAAAGAUACAUCUUUGAGAAAAUGCAGAUUGUGCUUGUGUUAAUGAAUUGGUAAAAAGUUCUUCAUUGUGUAGUGGUUCCACUUCUACAGGAAAUGCCCGUGUCUCUCACAAAUGAGUUAUGGUAUUAUUAGUUAAAAGUUUGGUAGGUGGUGAAGCGGAGAUAGGCCACAGUAUAAAACGCUGCUUCUUUCUUUCACUCCUUCUAAUGUCACGUUUGAUGCUGCUGAGCACUGCAGGAAAAAAAAAAAAACACCUGACCAUUGAAGGUAAGUUUUUCAUCAGAAAACAAAGGAUCGAACCUCUUUGGUGUGAAUACGACUGCAUAAUCUUUGAACAGCUCUCUCCUUUGCAAAUUGAAAGAAAAAGACACUCAGGGAAAGAGGUUCAGUUUGUUUCAUAUAGCUGCGAAGACCCUCUGAGGGCAAAUUCUUCUUAGUAUCGGUGAAGUUAGGAUUGUGCUCUUCAUGCCACAGUAAAAUCAUCUCACUUUCCACUUUUGCAGUGUUGAAAGUAUUUGAUAACAGCCUUGCAACAAGCAACACCUUGUCUUAGAAAAUUGAUGGAGAACCUGCAUUAUGUCCUCUUGAAGGUGAUACAAAACCUGAUUUAUUUGAGUGGAUUUCCUUUGUAAACUAAGCUUAAAGUUUGAAGUUUUAUAUUAUUGAAUUGUUUUCACAUCAUUCUCAAACUUUCCCAAAUUCUUUGACCCGGUACCUAAGCUACAACAAAGUGAAUUUGUUAAAAGAGAGUGCACAUUUGCAAUUUUACUUUCAACAUUAUUCCUUUUGUGUCAACUGAGCUUGCAGAGUUUUGGCUCUGCAGCAGAUGGUAUUUCACCUUGUUGUUAGAGAGACUUUUUUGAGGAAGAGCUGAAAUCUUUUAACCAAAGAAGCAACAGCCUCAGUUUGACACAAAAGGUGAGAUUUUAAAUAAAUCAGGAUGACAUUUCAGAUACAGAGCAUCAUGUUAUCAAUGUUCAGCCUGACAGGUUAUGAUUUCAGUACAACUUCUAAAACUUUUUCUUCCUUUUAGACAGAAAAAGACACAUUCCUGAGUUUGUAAGAGUUGUUGAUCAUAUUGUGGUGUCAGCACUGAGGCUUCUUGAACUGAGAUCAAAAGGGAAUACCUCUGUGUAAGCAGAGCGGCUCGACUAAAGGCAUCUUUGAAGGCUUCGAGAUACGCAUAUUGAAUCAAAUCUGUCGCAAAAAUGUAAAAGAGUGUGAUGGUCAUGUUUAAACUAUACCUGCAAACACACACUGGGCCCAUUUUGGGUCCAACUAAAUGUAUUAUCUUUAUCAGUCAUUUAUGUAAUAAUAUAUAUAUAUAUAUAUAUAUAUAUAUAUAUUUAUUUAUUUAUUUUUAAUGCAGACAAUACGAUUAUAUACACCUUGACCAAUGGGUUUAAAGACUGCCUGAUCUAUGACCUGAGAGACACGCAAGACAGGACAAUGACACCAACCAAGCGGCCCAGGCUUGAUUUUCAAUUAAGAUAAUGACAAAUUGAUUGAAGUUUAAAUUGUUAACUGGCAAAUUCAAUGACAUUGCAUCUCAGGCAUGCUAUAACGUAUUGCAAAAGUAACAUAACUAGCAGUGUGUCUAGUUUUGUUCAGCUACUUAGGGGUGUGUUAGUUCACUUAAAAAAGACCAGUCCAAGUCACUACCCAAAAACUUUUUUAAAAAACUUGACAACAAAAACACAAGAGUACAAGAAGGUAGUCCUUUUUUACAUACUCUACGAUACCCUACUUCUCAUUUGGUAUUCAUAUAAAACUUAUUAAGACUGUUGGGUUUUUAUCAUCCAUAAAAUGCCAAGAUAAACUUUAUAUUUUUUGCCGACUGGCUGCCCUCCUUCCUUCUCUGCAGAAACUAUCCUGGUAUUUUAAAAGUAAUACUGUUGGACUGCAGCUGAGGACAGCGAACUCAGCAUUUCAUCAAGAUAGAGUAUCUCCACAACUCUGUGAAAUAAUAUCACAGAACAACAAGUUCAAUGUAAAACUCCUUGUAUCUCGCCGUCAUCACACAUUAUCGACAUGUUCAGGGUUAAGUCCGCCUCAGCUCAUGCUGUAUUGAUUUUGACAUUUCCCUCCGAGGUUCCUGCAGUCAGGUCGAGGGUGGAUAGAGGAGAUCUUAAAUAUAACAGUGCAGUUUAGCCUUGGAGAAGAGGAGUGUUUACGAAUGUGUGUGUAUCUUGGCUUUAUGUGUUAUUUAUAACUAACCUUCAGAAGAACUUCCAUCAUUCUAGCCAAUUACAAAUGGAGCAACUGGGCGGUUUGACUGUCUCUUCGCUCAUGCAGUCUUUUGCUUACAAUUUCUUGCAGUCAUGUAAUGAGUAUUAUAAUGUGAAUUUCUCAUCAAAGAUAUCAAUACCCAUGUAUCUGUGCAAACAGCCGUGAUAUUUUCUGUUUUCAAGCUAUAAAUAAAGAGCUCUAUCACUGUUAUCCCUUCAAAGGCACUCAAAACUGGUGGUAAGGCCAUUCCUCUUUUCCGUAAUCCUGGGACUAAUCCACAGCAAAUAAUUUAUCAAGUACGGUACAUGAACAAAAAGAAGAAUUUGCUGGAAAAUUUGUUACACUUUAUUAAUAACAAGAGAUGGCUCUGGUUGUAAGAGGCUUGAAAACACUCUGUCAGCUGGUGGAGGAACAAAUUUAAAUAACCUAAUUUGACACAUUUAAGGGGCCAAGUUACAGGCAGAUGGGAGGAAAGAAACCAACUGAAGAGGCAGCAGAUUUCCAGAGUUUUCCGUGUUACCCUGCAGAGAGGUCUUGGUUUUGCUUCAGUAGAGACAGGUCAUCCAGGCUGAACACAGAUGAGACUCUCUUCUCUGACAGAAUUAUAGACAGAAAUCUCAGACAACAGAGGAAGAGGAUGCUCUGACUGGACUUUUUCCUCCUCUUCCUCUCUGGAAGCACUGAGCGGUGAAACAUGUCCACCGGUGAGAGUAAAGCACCCGGUGGAUCUCCCCUGUGGUUUUGAUGGAGAGCAGUCAAGCCUAGCAAGACAUGUCAGAAACUAACAGUGGUUAGAAACACAACAGAGCUGUGGUAGAAGUCAAGCGUUUUCAUUUUCUCUGCUAACAGAGAGACAAACAAAAGGUCUCCUUUUCCCUGAUCAGUUAACAAAGGCAGAUAUGAAAUGUGGAGUCAGCGCUUUGUUAAAAGAGGGCAAUGUCAUGUCUGUAGAGUUGUGCCAGUAUAUAAGAUUCCACUGCUGAGUCUAUUUAUUAGAUUUUGGGGCUUGGUAGGUGGUCAGCUAACCAAGAAAGAUAGCGGUUCAACUUAGCCUUCACGUUAACAUUAACCCACCUGUUAUUCUUGGGGUCAAUUUGACCCCAUUCAAUGUUUAUCAUUCAAAAAAUUAUAGAUGACUUUUGUUUUUUUGCUUCAUAUUUCAUGACUUCCUAAUUUGAUGGGGACAACUGAAGUCAGUAGAGGGACCAUAAUUUUCCAUUUUUGGUGCUACCCUGACAUGGGAUAGGGGGAAACAAUGUUUUCACGAAAACCUUCCUGCACCAUGGGCAUGAAGAUGUGUGUGCGUAUGAGUGACCUACUGUACUCACACAUGUCGAAGUAUAGGACUGAUACUGUAUUUCCUGUGUUGUGGAAGGAGGGGUAUUCCCUCAAGGACAUUGGUAGUUCAUGCAAAAUAAUCAAUAUGGUUUAUUCUGUGAGAGUCAUGAAUGUGCACCCCAGAUUAGGAAAAUGUUGGACGAAAGAUUUUCAAGAUACACUAACUCUAAAACUGAAAGUUUGACCUGAUGGUGGCGCUACAGAAAGGUCAUAUUAUCACCAAAACCAGUGGGGUUCAUCCUCUUGUGGUAAAAAAGAUUGUCAGUAAAUUUGAGAUUUGUAUGAAAACUUUUGAAGAUACAUUGAUUCUACUUUAAAAGUUUGGUCUAUUGGUGGCGCUGGAGAACAGGUCAACUCACUGGUAGGUUUCAUUGUUAAGCACUUAUUUAUGUACUCAACAAAUCAACAAAGUGCCUGACAAAAAAUCUUGGUCAACAAUUGCAUGUAAAUCAUUUUCUGGAGGCAAAUAUACCUGGGGUCAGAUUAAACCUAAGGGUAAAAUGUGUUAGUAAUAUUUGAGGAGAAUAGGAGGGUUAAGUUUGAUGUAUAGGAUUAGCAUUAGCUUUUUUGGGGUGUCUCUCACCCCGGACAACUUGACAUGUUUUUAUUUAAUUUUAUUUGUAAAGGGACCAAGUCGAAUGGAUCUCUUUUAAAUUAUUGGGUUACAUUUGAGGUUUCAGAUCAGUUUUCUUUGCCGUUUACAGUGGGGAAAAAAGCAAAAAAAUCUGCUUCUGAAAAUAAAAGUUGAAACUAAAAUGGUGGACUUUAAGUUGGAUAUGAAACAGAAUCAUUUUGAUAUUUUUAUACAGGCUAAAACCGAAAAGCUGUUAGAGGUACCAUUUCACACAGUGUCACUAAGUCUUGAUGCCUCGACAAAAUCUGCAUAACAAAAAUACAUGAAACUUUAAAGCUGUAAGUGCUGAAUAAUGAUUGUUGCAAUGAAAGUCAAUAAACUACAUUCAAAACAAGCUCAAAGAAAUAAAUCAUGGACUAUGUAUCUGAAUUUCAGUGCAGGUGAUCCAGUCCAAGGUGACUGAGAUGUAAAAGCCUGUAACAGUGUGUUCUUGGACUGCAGUGUGUGACAAAAGCCGAGGCUGGUAAAUAUGGAUGUGUCUUUUGUUCAGGUGCGCUGAGCAAAAAGGCCUCAUGAGAGAUCAAUCUCAAUGUUGACAUUUGCAAGGGUGGGAAUAUGGCGAGCUUAAUACAAACUCAUGAAUAGAAAUAAGUGUUUGUGUGGAUCUUUGUGGUGGAUGUGGGCAGCUUUUAAUGACAGACAAACAGAAAAAGAAAAAGACAGGGUGAGUGUCAAAGUGAAAUGGAGAUGUACAAGGAGACAAAAGCAAAGAAAGAAAAUGUCUUCAGGCUGUAACUUCCUUCAGUCAGUCCUUUUGAAGCCAACACAAUAUAUUUUUGUAUCAAUGUAAACCAGUGCAUAAAAAUGUGUCACAAAAAGCAGCACAGAGGAAAUCUCAUCUCAAUGAUAUUCACUGUUGUUUGUUUGUUUCUGCCAUUAAACCAACCUGUAAUCUUAUUUUGGGCCUGUGAUCAUGUAGUCACAUAGUGGAUACAGUUUAUUAUAUUACAUCAAAUGAAAACAUCAUAACUCAGUAUAGAAAAACAGCAUGACAUUGAGAUUAAAUUUGAAAAAAUGGGAAGUUAUCUUGUAUCAUAAUUUGCACAUAUAUUUUUGAUUAAGUAUGUCUUCACCCCUGUAUUCAAUUACUGUAGAUCUCACGUUAGACUAAGAUUACCCUUAAAUAUGGCGAGCAGCUAAGAAGAGCUUUGCGGCCUAAAAUCCUAUCACCCUCUUUGAUAUUUUUAAGUCCAAAAGGAGUUUUAAGUACAUUUUAUGACUCAAAACUCUCAUAUGGAACUUUCGGUGUCAGUUUUAGCGCUACUGCCGUCUUUUAACAAACGUCAUUGGAAGUUCAGUAAGACUUGUAAAAAGCAGCUGUAUCAGGAACAUCCAUGUGGUCUGACACCAACUUUCCUCCCAGUAGUUUCAUACACAUAGACUGUGUAUAUAAUUGACGCUGUCUGCCUCCACGCUGGGUGAAGUCACUCCGAGAACAGCACCCUCUGGUGACGGGCUGCAGUAUAGGUCAUUAAUCCCGCCUCCUCCAGCAAAGCUUAUGGAGCUGUGGACAAACUUUAGAGAUUUAUCACACAGAAUAUACAUUUUUUCUCCCCCCUGCUUGCGAUGUUGACAUGUAGUUACUGUAAGACUGGUUUGUGCUCAAGUCCUCAUUUUUCUGUACAGCUCCAUUUUUAAAAGUCAUUAGGGGGCUCAUGUUUUCUAUGAUUGACACUUGAUACAGCCUAUAGGUGUACGAAGAUUGCGUAGCUCACCUGGGGGAUACGCUGUUUGAGCCGAGUGUCAUCACAGCGACUCUCCUGCUGAAUGCCUACAAUGAUACAGCGUAAUGUUGGUUCCAGGAUGUAGAGAAAAUCCUGGAAAUACUGAGAGCUUUUCGGCAUCAAAACCGUUAUCCGGAACCAAGUUGUCUAAAUAAAUACAGUCUAUGUUCAUACAUUAAAAUUCACCAGUAACUGUUGAUGUAUCGGUCAGUAUGUUUACAUGUUGCUCAAAAGAACAGGUUUAUUGCAUUAGUCCAUCUGAAAUCACAGUAGGACAAACAUACUUAGAUUAUGUGGUUCUGAUCCUACUCCAGUGUUAGCAUGCCAAGCUUUGAGUCAGAUGUUGAAUGGUGCAAAUGCAUUACAAGAAAGCCAGGUGGUAAAUGAAACCUUGAUAGACAAAGGAAAGGAUGUAAAAAAGAUUAAACUUUCCUGUUGUGCAAACAAACAGAGUUGUAAAAGUGACAGUGUUUUCAUCGUUUGACAUUCAUCCUGCCCUUUGUUAAUUGUUUGGAUUGUCAUAAUAGGUCAACUAGGAGACAGCCUGAUAGUAAAGAGCUGAAAAGGGGCAUGUAGCCACCUACAGAGUAGAGACAGACAUGCUUCUGUAAAUAAUGUGAUUGUUGCUUGCAAUGGACAGUAGUUCAGUCAAGAAGCCUGGUCAAGCUCUGGCUUUUGAUCUAAACUGUGCACGUGAACAUACUGACUCUUUCCUAUAGAAGCAGAAGUAUCUGGUGUGAUACUUAAUUCAUCAGUCUGAAUAAAUAAAUGUGAAAAUGUAAAAGGUUUUCUUCUAUUAGUCGACCAACAAUAAUAUGUGGUUGAUUUGAUCUCGGUAACCUCUCUGUUAACUUUCUGCCAUUAUAAUUGUAAUGCAGUAAACAAAUAGUGAAUCCUGUAGGGAGAUGACACCUCCACUGUUAAUGGGAAACAGCUGUCAGUGGGCACAGCACCACACCUAAAUGAGUUGCUGAAUAAAUCUGAUAUGUGGGUGGUGAUUCAGAGGUCAGGCUGGGAAAGAACUGUAAUUUGUAAAUUCACGAUACUUUAAUUGGUGGGUGAACUUUCUGUUGUGGUUAUGAUUACAGCAGCAGAGGGAAAGUAGUCCGCUCUUGAACAUGAACCUGCCUACAUUCAAGUUUGACAGCUUUGCAGUCAAACCCUCAGCAGGUUCAGCUUGGGGAUUGUUUUUCCUAUAUUGAAAUCUUCCAUCAACGUUCAAUCUAAAGUAUUCCUUACAGUAUUUUACACCCAGGAAAGGGAGAGACAGAGUGAGAAAGUCCUCAUCUAAAUGUAAAAAUGUGUGGGUUGAAGCAUGUUACUGUUCUGGUGUUUCUCUGUGGGUGCUAGAGCAUUUGAUAUGCUGUGUAUAGAGCACUGACCUGUGAUAAAAGAGGGUCAUGGGAAUCACAGGAGCAUUGCGUGGUGGUUUGUGCCUGUUAAAGUGUAGCGAUGACUGAAUGGUGAAUUUUGAAGGAUGGGUAUGCUGCUGGGGGCUGAAAUUAGAUUAAAUGUUUGCUGAGUUCAUGUUUGUGUUGGUAAGCUCUAUGACUGGAGGCAGAUUGUCAUAACAAAAAGUGUCAACUCAUGAUGCGAUUGAGUCUUUGCUGUGGGUCAAAGGGGGAAAAAAGCAACAAUAUUUCUAUAAGGACAGUGAGCAAAGGGUAUACAACAUUCACAUAUUUAUCUAAAUCAUGUAAGAAUUGUCUGCAGAUAUAUGUAGCAUUUAUUAAAAUGCUCUUAUCUAAUGGUAGAAUUUUAUUUUGGUAAUCAUGGUGGUCAGAUUUUAUAUUCGGUCCUAAACUGGCUCAUCGUGUUUGAAUUAAAUGUCAAUAUAUGUUUAUCUGUAAUUUCAGUAUAUUUGCUUUAUUUUAACGGUUUUAUUGUCCUGGUGCAACAGAUUCAUUAGCGAGUACAAGGUCCUCUUUAUGCUCUGAUGACCUUUGAAUAAAACUAUUUGCCCUUUAACAGCUUGACUGUUGUAAUCCUUCAACAACCAGCCAGCUGUGAAUAGAGCUGCGAAGCUGUUGGCAAAAUAUUAUCACCCAGCUUUCUGUCUAAUCACCCAACAGCCAGUGUCAAAUAUUGAAUUCUGAUUAGUCAAAACCCUAGACAACGAUUGUUAACUCUGAAAAGGAAAGGCGAUGCCAGGGGCAACCUGAUCACACUACUCAAAUUCACCUCUUCCUGUUGAUUUCCAACAAAAUCAUUGAUUUCCAGCAGCAUCUGUGAACACCAUGGAGGAUAUUCUCAGUAUUACUCUAUCUAGAAAGCAGUAAUAAGAGCUGUUCAAUGCAGAGAUAAAAGACUACAGAAAGGGCAAAUCAGGCAGAAAUCUGCGAGACAUGUUUAAACACGCAUGGGGCUGCAGGGUGAAAGAGACAUAGUGCAAGCAGUGCGAUAACUACUGUUGCCAUGGAAGGUCUACCAGUCAUCAAAAACUGAGGGGCAUUUUUAACGCUGUGUUAAGAAAGUACUCUACAUCAAUGAAAUCAUCGUAAAUCACUUUUCAGUAUUCACUUGUUUCUCUAUUUAAAACAGUGUUCUGCAUAGCUGAUAGGUUGCUGUUAAUAUAAGAUGAUGUAUACAGGGUUUUUCCUGGCUCAAAUUGAGGCAGAGGUGGCACCGUCCCGACCAUGCGCCAUGACGUGCAUGUAUUUGUAAAUUCAACUGACUCACUUUCUUUUACAGGCAACAUACUUUAAGUUAAGAGUUCAAAAAAGAGUGUGACCAUUAUCAUGUUAAAGCAUUCAUUUAUUAAAACUAUAUACAUACACAAAUCAGCUGGCAACUUUAAAUUGAAAGUACACUUCAUCCACACAUCUCACAACCAUACAGAACAUUUCAGCCUCCUCUUUUUCAUUCUGUAGAACCUCCUCAUGCACUCCUUGUAGUCCAAGGCCUCCUGGUCUGGUCCAUCAACGGCCACCUUACAACAGACAUCCAAGUGCCUCUCCUUCAGUCUGUUCCACAGAGGUGUCUUCACCUUAAACAAAACAAUUCAUCAUGCAUUAAGUAUUUUUGUUUUUAUUCUGAUACAGACAUGAAGAGUGAUAGUGUUUUCAAUCAUAUAUUAUAUAUAUGUAUACGUUGCAGUGUCCUCCCUAAAAAAACGACAACCAAUUAUUUCUUAAACUAUCUAAACUAUGUUAUUUAUUUUUUGUAACUUUAUUAGUUGAGUUUUUUUAGGUACUACCAUCUUUAAUAUACUUCUCCUUCUCUUCUGCUGCUUUGUGAAUGGCUGUCACCUCAUGUCUUUUUAAUGUGUCCAGCCUGUAGUUGGUUGAUGGCUGUCUCACUAAGGAGGCACCAAUUACCUGCUGUGUUGGGGCACAGUGCUUUUGGCAUAAAUAGCAGCGCAUGCCUUCCUCAGUAUGCCUGAGCCAGGUAAAUUGAUUGAGCCACUGCUUGUCAAAGCCACUGGCUCUGUGUUUUUGAGAAGAUCUGGAAAGAGGAAUAAAAACCAUGUACACGUCGGCUUUGCGUUGUUAUGCUCCUAAUUGAAAACUAAUUAAUUAAUUACCCUCGCCUCGCCGACUCGUCCUGUCCUGCAUUCUGACCCUCGCGAUCACCAGUCCCUUGUGAAGUACUUUCAGACCUGACACAAAUUUCCACGUUGUCACCAACAUGAAUUAUAGCAUUUUAACUGCCUGUUCCUUUUUUUUCUCUGCUGUGUUUCACCUGGACUCUUGACUUUCCUCCUCGCGAGGUCGCUUUUUAAAGUACUGGCUGAUUUUGCCUGUCAUAUCUGCAACGCUAAAAAACGGAGGAAACUUUUUUUUUAAUAAACACGACAUGCUUGGAUGCAAAAAAGAGAAGCAGUAUUUACCUGUUUGUACCAUCCGCCAGGGAAAAUCAGGACGCCGAUAGCACCAACUAGCGGGAAAAAAACUUGAAAAAACAUGAUUCGAUCCGUUUCUUCUUCGGUAGAUGCUUCAGGUCUUUCCGGUGCACUGCUGUUGAUAUAGCGCCUCUAUAGUGGCGCAACGCUGCAACUGCAGUUAAAAUACGUUGCUGCUGCAGAGGGACAUCAUACACUCAAUCAACACAGCUGGAGCUUUACGCUGUGUUGAGCGAAAUCAAUCGCUCUGGCUGGGGGCGGCACAAAAUUAGGUGGAGGCGGCCGCCACGCAAUUUUGAACGCAGGAAAAACCCUGGUAUAGUGAGUCGGUGGUCAUGCAAAGUAGAAUCUCUGAAUGGUGAGAGAAGACUGGUGCUUUACUUCACAUUGAGGUCUGAUCUUUCCUUUGUCAGCCAUAAAGGAUUCUGAAGUUUUAUGCUCUACAAGUAAAUAAUGGGUAACAUUUCAAUUAUUAUCCAUUAGGGGUGGGAAUCACUAGUGGCCCCAUGACAUGAUAUUAUCACGAUACUUGGACCACGGUACAAUAUUAUUGCGAUUUUUAACAUUUUGCAAUGCAGUGAGUAUUGCAAUACAAUAUAUUGUGAUUUUUCAACUGUUUAGCUAAUUUGGCAUUUGGCUUUUCUUUAUGUUUCUCUUAUUUAUGCUGUAUUUUAUUUUCAUGUAGCACAUCUUACAAACCUUACAUAUAUUUGUUGUACUAAUUUUCUCCUGCUCUAUGAUGACCCCUCUGCCAACCUCACUGGACAAACAGUAGAUUUUAUUUUUUCCAUUAUCAUGGAUUUGACUUCAUAUUAGCAAUUAAUUUUAAAAAUCGAUACUAGGUAAAUGAGAUGAUACGAUGUAUCCCCAGACAAAAUAUUGCGAUACUAUGUUGUAUCCAUUUUUUUCUCCCACCCCUAUUAUCCAUUUUGUGCAGUGAUGAGAAACUAGUAUUUUACCUCAAUGCUAACAAGACAAAGUAAUACCACAAAUUUUAUACAUGUGCCAGACUCCUUUAUAUAUAUUGAUAUGACAUUAAUAAUCUAAAUGUCCCUGGUGCUGCUUUUGCUAUUCAGAAUUAAUUACUGUUUCAGUGGAUUUCGACCAAUCAGAAAAAAGUCUGUCUAAAAUUAACACAGUCGCUAAAAGUUAUAUGACUUGUCUGCUGUCAGUGUUCUUCUGAGUUGCUGAGGGGGAGGUGGAAAUGGGCCACAUCACUCUGUCUUUUCCAAUGUAAAUAUACUGUCGUAUAGAAAUUUUAUUCAAAGUUUAUAUUAUUUUUUGAUCUGACAAUAAAAAGCCGAAAUAUAUAUUAAUGCUGUUUUAUGGUAUUCAUACACAGAAAAGAGUAUCAUAUUUUUUAUGGCUGAAACUGGUGUGAGGGGGUAGGUAUCAGCAAAGCUUCUCAAAGGCAGCUCUGUUUCUAUAGUUUCUACAUAAAAAUAUUCACUAUAAAUAAUGAGGUGAGCAAAGGCUGCUUUAUCUACAGGUUUGAGUCAGAGUAAACACAUGCACGGCUUUAAGAAUCUUACUGUAGUCUACGGAAGACAUGAAGGAAGGAGCGAGAGUAAAAGUCGAAUAGAAAUGGUGGGAAAAAACUUUCUAUCAGUAUAUUAAUUGUCAUCUAAGUUGUACGGAGUCUGUAUGAGGAAGGUUGACCUUAACAAACUUCCAUUCUUCAAAAGAAAGUAGACAGUGUGGAAAGGAGAAAAAAGUAAAGCAGGCAGAGUCAAUACGAGAACAGUCUCAGCCAGCUAAAGAUUUGUCUGCCAAAAGGGGACAAAAGGAAAGAUUUCAGGUCGAAAGGAGGAAAGAAAAGCUGUUUCUUCUUCAAAUAUCUGAAUGUGCUUGACGAUCAGGGGCUCUUAAGGGGCCAACAAGUUCAACAUCAACUCAAAUGUUGAAUACAUUAUAAAACAACCAUGAAAGUUUACGCUCAUCUAUGACCUCUCUAUUUUUGUCAGGAAAAUCAAAUUUCAUGUGUUUUACAAGCUGUCUCUUCAGUUACAUACUGGGUUAUCUCCAGGUCACAUGCGGGAGCAUCUGUAUAUAAAGAAUGAGGACGUGAGGAUGAUGAGAUGGAAAUAACUCCACAAGUUUACUGUCAUCUUUGCAGAAAAACAGCAGAAGGGACUAAGCAAAAAGAGUCAUCACAGCUAUAGUCUGAACAUAAAAGAGCAGGAGAUGAAAUAAGGAUAGUUUGUGGAAAGUCACUCAGCUCCAGUCUUUCCUUUAAACAUUUUUGGUAAACAACCCUCAUCAAAUGUGUUCAAAAAAGUGAAGAUGUGUGGUGUAGCUGCAGUUUACAAAGCUCUGGGUGUUAAACAGAGCUCCCGCUUUGUCUGCUGAAUAAUCAGAUGAUGUUUGGAGACUUUAUUGAUUUCUUUUGUUGUUAUUCUGUGGUGGCAGUCCUGUCCUCUGCCAGCUCACUGUGUAAAGAGUCAGAGGCCCACAGGAGAGGAUACACACCCAUACACAGACAUCACAACACACACACACACAAAUUAUUAUGUUUAAGAUUGUCAUUUUACUCAUUAAUUUUACUUAUUUUUUCUUUUUAUCCGUGGUGUGAAGUCACAGCGUACUAUCUAAGUGGGAACUUUUGUCACUAUUUACUAACCAACAGGGAACCUUUGCCAUUCCAAAAAGUGGAAGUCCCUUUUUUCUGUAAUGUGCAUGGUAAAAAAAAAAAAUGCAUUCUUAGAAGUGUAGACUGAUCCUUGAAAUAUAUUGAAAAAUCAAUAGAAAUCCAAUUCUUGUGAAAACUGGUUAAGCGAGUAUCUUGGGAAUGAAAAACUUCAGGAGUCUUGUCAAAGUCUGAAAUGUGUGUGUUUUUUAAGCAAUUGCUUAAUUUUUUUUUCAAAAACGAAGAUAAAACAUCUAGAGACAUGUUCUGCACCCAGUAACCUGUUAAACAGCCCCUCUCAGGGAGUGUGUGUAAAACGACAUGUGCUUAAGGGUUGUUGUAAUUCCGGCCUCGGCCUACAGGGGGAUAGCCUCGCAUGGACUUCAACACUCACACACCUUCAGGUCCCCACUUGGCUACAAUUAAAAUGUCCCCUGUUGGCUAUGAGGUCCCCUCUUGGUGAAAGUGUUACGACACCAAGUUCCCCUCUUGGAUAGGUAGGAAAGUGUACACACACACACACACACACACACACACAUGCAGAGUGAUGCACAUGACUUUAAGUGGUGAGUGAGGUUCAUCUCAACAAAACCGGCAGCUGCAGGUCUCUCUGUUUCUCUCUGCCAAUCCCAAUCACACACUUUUCACACACACACACGCGCUGUUUGGUCGAUCAGACAGCUUGUAUGAAUGAUGAUCUAUCACAGCCACAUAUAUUGAAUCGAGGUCUAAUCUCAUGAGGUGUUUGUUUAGAGGACACACAGGGCUCACACACCAUGAAACCCUGCAGCGACAGAGUUAAUGGACAAUCUGAGGGAGUCCUAGCCAAUCACUGAUGACAGCCAGAGGCCAGGGAGUUUGAGAUUCUUAUUUAAUGAGUCUGCAGCUGAAGCAUUACUCACACACAUGCUCAAAAAAUUAACUUCAAGUAUUUAUUUGCUUGGUUAUGAGAAAUAAACACUGCAGCUUGAAAAGUUUUACCUCUUUAUAUCUUUGUUUUUUAUUUUACUUCAUCAGGGAAAGCUUUUAUGAUGAAGGACAGAUGGAAUGAGCAAUAUAAACUUGGAUGAUAUGAUCCAGAAAAUGAAAAUUUCAGCAAAUAAAAAUAUACUAUUUGGCAGCAAAGUUUAUCAUUUCGUAAACAGUGACACAAAAAAAGGCUCUAUGAACAGCUGUUGUUUCAAUCACUUGAAAAGGAAGGAAAAUUAAAGUAAAAUUUGUACUUUGUACAAAAAAUCAAGAGUGGAAGUUGUCAUAUAAUAAGUAAGCCGAAAUCCAGCCAUUAGGAAGAAGAUAUAAAGUGUUUAUCUGCUAAAAAUAUCACCAAGAGUGGAGGUUUGACACGUCUCCGGGCUGUAUCAGGAUAAGUGUUUUCAGCUUUAAGAGUGAAGGAUGAGGACAAGAGCGUCUGGCAGGAUCAACACGAAUCUCCUGCCUCAGAUAUAUGAUUGCAUUGAAAAUCCACAAAGCUCGACAUGAUAUUUUCACAUCCCAGAGGCCCCUGCAGCUCGUCCCCGUCUCAUAUGUGCUCUGAACGCUGAUCGAUUCCACACUCAGCCCCACAGAGCUUUUAAAUAUUUCACAUUCAAGUACAACUCCGAGUUGUCAAGAAAAAACGAUUAACAAGUUUCAGAGUCGCGCUGAGCUCUCUGGAGGAAGAAAAUGUGCGAGUCAGACGAGAAGAAGUCUGCAGGCACUGAGGAAACAAUGAAAUGUCAAGAGUGUUUAAAUGACUGUCAUCUCUGACUCGACUUACAUUUAGAAUCAACGUUUACACAGUUUGAUCCCUGCAUCAGUGUCCAACUGGUAUACAAGUAAGAGAAAGCAUAGUGAAGAGGUGAUACCUCUCACUGGAGGGAUUCAAACUCAUUUUGUCAUUAUCAAUUCAACACAAAAUAUUAACUGAAAGAUGAUUUAUAGAUUUCAAUUUUAAAAAAUGGUCCCUCUGAUUUCGCAGCUGUUAGUGCUGUCAUGGCAACAGAUACUAAUCUGUCUUCUCGCAGCAUGAACAAACAUCAAGUCAAACCUUUCAAUCAGCAGUCAAAUUACAACAUUAGCAUGCAAUUACACUGAUUAUUUAAUUGAACGUCUCCAUGGAGAGUAACGCAAGUAAGGGUCGACAGGGCUGCUGCAGCCUAGCCUGGUUAUUUUUCAUAAUAAUUCGGGUCAUACUGAGGAUUUCACUUCGAGGUCAAGCCACAGUCAGACCAAUCAUUUGUCAUUACUCACAUUAAACUGAACAUUUUGAUUGACAUGGUGAAUUGACAUCCUCAUUUAGUAACACGACCACUCAUGGUUUAAUGGUGUGUUUGAGUCAGAUGUCGGAGCAGAAAAUGAUGUCACACCCGAGUUCCCAGCGUUUCAGUUACUAAGUCGGAGAACAGCAAAUUAGAAACCUGAAACAAAAUGGCUACAUCUACGAAAGAUAUUUUAGCACUUGCCUUAUAUUCAGAUAAGACAAGCACUAAGAAAACUUUCAUAGAUGUAGCCAUCUUGUUUCCACCUCUGAUUUUGCUUUUUGCUAACAUGGUGACUGAAACGCUGGGAACUCGGGUGUGACGUCAUUUUCAGCUCCGACAUCUGACUUCCGAGGUAACUCGAACACAGCAUUAGCAUCUUGGUAGUGAACGGUAACUUGGAGACGCACUCCCCUGCUCUGUUGCUGUUGCCUGGAUUGCAGGACAUGAUCUAAUAUAUACAUAUCAACAUGCCUUAUCUACCAGCUAUUCAUGCUAACCAAAACCAGCCAAAAAAAUGUAUAUACUCAAGAACUCUUCAUCCCAUAUUGACUGGAAUGACGUGUUUUGGUUGUCUCUGACAUUGCUGUUGCUAGUUAUAAUAAAUUACUGUUGUCAAGAGGUUUUGACCAAUCAGAAGCGAGUAUUAGAGGCAGCUUUAUGAGCAGAGUCAGUGGGAGUUGCCCCCAAGUUGUUGCACCAGGCCUAGGACAUGUAAGAUAGCAUGCUUAGAAAUUCAGUCAUCUUUUGACACAAAUCACAGCGAUAGUGGAUGGUAAUAUAAACUUACAGAGGAAAAUUUUGUUUGGAAAAUACGUUUUAUUUAUUGAAAUUUUGAUAUGUCUUGAGUUUAACCCAUAGAACUCCCAGCUAUAUUUUGCUAUUUUUGGUCCGCCUGUUUUUUCUUUUUUUCUUUUUUUUUUGAUAAAAAUCUAUGUAGCAACUCUGUCCUUUCAAGCACAGCAUAUAUAUACAUAUGUUUUUUUUUUCAGGACAACCUCAGCUGUCAGUUUAUGGGUGCAAAUGGGUGUGACAGAAGUAUCAGAACCAUCAAAGUCAACCAAAAAACAGAAAUUGAUACCAACAGUACUUUGCUAAAAAAAAAUAAAAAUAAAUCUAUAGUGACCAAGCCUUUUCUCACACAUCAUGCACAUCAUUCUGUUAAGUCUUGGCUAUCAGGAAAAGAAAUAUUGGGAUUGGAACAAACACACAACAGAAACUAUUUACAUAUUUACACCAAUUCUUCCAGGUGUUUUUUGCUAUUUACAGUUGUUUAUGCCACUCCUUAAAGCAGUUCCUUUCUGAGAUGAGACAGAGGACCACAUCAUACUGCUCAUGAUCUCUUCUUUGCUUGUUUCCAAGCAUUGGGGACCAUUAUUUCUUGUUUUGCAGACAAGCAGGGAACUUUCUUGUCUCUUGUUGAUCUUUGGUUGCCUCUUAUUGGACACUACCAUCAAGAGAACAAUAGUAGAAGGAUAUGAGACCAUGUAAUAUGAGACAUAGAAUAUGAGAUAUGUAAUUGGUCGAAAGUUUGACAGGAAAAGAUAUCAUCAAAACAGCUUAGCGACAUUUAGCGAUAGUGACCUUUUUUUUAUCACAACAAUAGGAUAAAUAAUGAUAACAUGUUUUCACCGGUAUGUCACUGCGGAUUUACCAUCAAACAUCUUGGAUGGUAAACCUUGUGGGAGAUGUAGAAGUGCCUGAAAACCCUUGAUAGGGAUUGAACACUUUUCAUCCCACAGAGAUACACAGUAUAGUUCUCAAGAAACUGUAAACAAUGUUAAUGGUGUCAUGUGGGAUCGCUAGUGAUUCAGCAGAGUUCUAAGUGUUAAAACUUUUAUUCCCUUAAAUAGUAUUUGUGGGGAGUUUUAUGGUAGACUCAGCAAUAGUUUUUGAGAGAAGUGAUUUAGGUUACUUUUACUUUUUCCUCCUUCUUGGAUUUGAGUAUUUUCCUCUUUUUUAUGUUAUAUAAAAGAUGAAUACAAAUGUGAGUCGUGACUUUUCUUGAAUAUAAAUAAAUCUGUUCUGUAUUUUCGUUCAGUUGACCACGUUGGGCAUUCGGUCUGUAAAUUCUCAGAUCAGUGUGCAUUCAUGUUUCAUGUUCAUCCACCAACCUUUGAUCUCCCAGCUCACUCUGUUCUCAUAGUGGUGAACAAUGGGAGAAGGAGAGGGCAGCAGGGGGCUCAGCAUCAACACUGCACUGUUGACUCUCCUCUCUGGCCAACAUCAGCUGGUGAUACUCAGAGGUCAUCUUGGGUUUGGUAGGGUUUUUCAACGUGGUUAUCUCCGACCUGGGCAAAGUUCACAAAGACACAUCAGUUCUUAUUCUGUCUAAAGCUGGUACUUUGGGAAGAGGAGAGAGGUUUAAGAAGAGAUUAAAUGCAUUUAGAAGAAGUUUGAGUCUCAGGAAGAAGUGGCAGACUGUAGGAAUAGGGAGAAAAUAGAGGUCGUGAAAGAUAGCUGAGACAUUUCACAGAUUUAAUGAGAGUGACGACCGGGAGAAAUAUCAGCUUCUGUCUGCAGCUGCUGUGAUUCAAAGGUACAAUAGAUAAACAGUUGAGCACAGAAAGACCGAUGUAUGUCGAUGGGAGAACAAAAGGAAACACUCAAACAGAUACACAUACUGUAUGUUACAAGGUUAAAUGGAUUUGUUGGCUGAAUCCUCCAGAUAGGAGGGGACAGCACAACGUCUUUGUUCUCAUUAUGAGUCAAUCUUUAUUCUUUAAAGAUUUAACAUUUGACUCUGUGUGUGAUCACUUAUGGUGAGACUCUAAUCACAGUGAUAGCUCAUCUGACACUCAAAGCUCAUUAGACUCCCUGUUUAAAGGGCUGAAGUACAAUCACACUUGUUUCGUUAAUUGAUUGCUUUGAACGAUCUCUGAGAGGAUGGGUGUGUACCGUAACAUUUGCAGUGAGAACAAUCAAGAAACAAGAUCAGAAAAAAUAAAUCAGCCUUCCUUACAAAUUUAGAUAAAUCAGGAGAAACUAUAGUUACAGGAGAACAAUAAUUUGUUUCACAAGAUUUAAAAAUCAAUGUUAAAGGGAUAUUCCGGCGUAAAAUUAAUUUAGGGUCAAACACACUGUAACACUGAGUUAGACACCCCCUCGAGAGAUGAAUGUUGCCGACCGCUUGCUUCUCGAGUUAUACCAACUUUAGUAAUGACCAUGCGAUAGCAAUACACAGCGGUCUGAGGAGCCAUAAACAAACCUCAACCAAAACGCCACUCUAUAGCCACAAAUAAUGCUCAGAACAGCACCUAACUUCAUCAACAGUACAUAUAGGGUCCUAGCCACAUCAUUAGCCACCAAUCUUUUUAACUUUGCCUAAUUUCUUUAGAAAACAGACUAAACACAACUCACCUACUCUCUUCCAGCAGCCGCUAGUUUGUAGCGAAACCUCGGACCAGUCCAUUACAGACUACAGUGGGGUGACACAGCUCAAGGAAGAACAUUUAUGAUCAUUACUUUAUCAUUUUCUUGAAGUAAUAAUCACCAUAUUAAUCCUUUUGAACUGCAGACACGGUAGUUCUUCUGCGUAAGCGUCUUGGUCUGAUUGCAUUUCCAUGAAGAAAUGAUCAUAAAUGUUCUUCCUUGAGCUGCGUCACCCCGCUGUAGUCUGUAAUGGACUGGCCCAAGGUCUGCUACAAACAAGCGGCUUCUGGAAGAAAGUAGGUGAGUUGUGUUUAGUCUCUUUGCUAAAGAAAUUAGGCAAAGCUAAAAAGAUUUGUGGUGGUGAGUGUGGUGCAGGAAGGUUGAAACAAUCCAUGCUGAAACAGAAAACUGAAGGAGCAGAGAGGAGCGCAAAUUUAAAGUCUGGCAGCAGCAGGAUGGAGUUUGUGUCAAAGCCUGUUUGUAAAAAAGUUAACACCUAUGUUCAGGUGCCAGGAUGGCAUGCCUUGGUCACAGGAAAUAAAACACAAGGUGAGGUCAGUGUAAAAGACACCUUUUUGAGUCUAAGAUUGAUUCUGAAGUCUGUUCUUCUGGUUUCAGAUUCUGUCUUUGCUUCAGUAAUUCAUAGAGACAGGUCUGUGCCUGCAGGGGUGUGUUAUGGGAGAAGAGGCCACACUUUCAAGAAUAUAGUAUUUAUGAAAAAGCUGCAUCAGACUAAUGCGUGGGCUUAUAGCUCCGAUAUUACUGUUGGGAAGAGGUAGAUGAAAUCAUACCUGGACACUCACACACAAACACACACAGGUGUUAAAUAAUGCAGCGAGUAUCACUGCAGGCCUGGUGUUUCAAAUGAGCUCUGUGAAGAGGGAAAUUUACGGACAGAGAUCCACAGUGAGAGUUUUAAAGCAUCCAUGAUGGAGAAGCUGCUGGAAGGAGAUCAAAUAAGAUCACGAGCUGACGUCACGUGACAAACGGGGUCUUCCUCUCAUCGAUCCGUUGUUUGGAUUUAAACAGGAAGUUUCAGUGCGACAAUUGUACAGCAGUAAUGUUUUUUUACAGUGAAACACCAGUGAAAAUACAUCUGCAUUAUGAAUACUGCUCUCAAUAAAAGCGAGUCAAAGACACAAUCAAAGUUAUGUACCUAUAGUCUCCUAUCCACAGUGAUUAUGAAGGUUUAUCAAUGUGAACCUGAAUGCAACACGUAUACUCCAAGUAUGCAUGUGGGCUGUGAGCUGCCGUGUAUUGAAAUGUUAGAACACAAUUAUGUUGUGUGAGAAUUAAACCUUGAUACCCGAUCAUCAACAAUGUUCUUGUAUCAGGUGGUAUAUUAACACCUCACACUGAGCAGAUAUCGAGUUCAACACAGUGAUGCACAUGCACACCUCGCUGGUGAUAAUGAGGCAGAUAAGAAGUAAAGCUGUGAUAUUUCAGUUCCAAUCAAACUGCUUUAACUUUUUUAAUCGACUCUUUUCAUCUAUAAAGGGAUUUUUAUCUGCACGUAUAUCGUUUAUCUCUUAUGAAAAUGAUGUUUUACGCUCAAGAAAAAGGGAACAGAUGCAGUUUGACCUGUUAAGAUGCAGGUAAUUUACUGUUUACUCAGCAGAGGAUUUAUGCACCAGGUGCGGACGGCAGCUGUGUUUAUUCAAAGCGAUGAAAUCGACUAAACCAAGGAUUUAUAGAAUACAACUUCAUUUGUACACAGUGAGCGGUGCAGGAUUGACUUGUGUUACUGUAAGGUUUGCAGCAAACUUUCUAUCCAUCCCUCCAUCUUUUUAUCCAUCUGUCAGAUCGUUCUGAGUGAAUGUGUGAGGCAGGAGGACGGUGAUCCAGAGCGAUGGAUAUCAGACCUUUCAUUUCCAUCAGAGUAAAGGUCAACAGAUCCUCACUCUUUUCCUCCUGAGCUUGAAGGAUUGGUGGAUACUGGGAGAGGAUGGCAGCAGGCUGACAAUACAAGAGGUCUCUUCAGGCAAGAGUAAGAAAGAAAGCUGUUAUCCUCUGACCUUUAAGCCCACCUAAAAAUAAGGCUAGGGGGUAUGUUGGGUGUUUUAUUGCACAACGAUGUAAUUCAGAAUAAGGACAAGGGAAAGUUUGUUUCAUAGCUUACAGAAUUUUAGCCAAAGAAAUCAAUAAAUCCAACAGAGGAUGCAAAACUUUACUGAGCAAACAUGUAAAUCAGUUUGUGUGUCAGUCAAAACUGAGAAGGAAAGGAAAGGGGCAAAAAACUAAAACAGAGGGUGCAGCUACUUCGACCUUACACAGACUAGAUAAAGUUCUAUCUAGUCUUCAUUAAAUAUGCCCUUUCUGUAUGGCUUACAAUACACCACAGAGUCAAAUAAGCUUUAUUAAGGAUUUCAGCUGAACCAACCCCAACAUGGCCAUUAAAAUUAGUCAGCAAUAGCUGUUUUAGCCGUCAUUAAAUACACAUAUAUAUAAGAUUUACUUAUUGAUUUUUCGGAUGUCAAGUGUAACUGCGUCAUUCUGGGUCCAUCCUCUGAAAGUGUUUCCUCUUGACAUUUGUAGAGCUGAUUUACUUCCACAUCAUCUCUUAUCUUUACAAGCUUUAAGGCAGAAGAGUGUGCAAGAAAAAUAAAACCAAACCUGAGGAAGUACAAAGUCAAGACAAUUUAGUCUACACAGCCCCAUCCAUUAUCACAUUAUGUCCUCAAGGGCUUUACAGCCUAUAUGGUAUACUAAAGCCUCUCACAAUUUGGCUUUUUACAGACAAUUUAAGUGGAAAAAAAACUCUAAAAGUGGAAAUCAAAUGAGGGAAAUCACAGAUAUAUUACUACGGGCAUUUGUGAUAUUUGGUCACACCAUCAGCUGCAUGAAAAUCAGAUUCUUUAAGCCAGAGAGAGUUUGAUCGUUUUUAUGUUGAUGGUCUGAAGCAUGAAGGACGUUACUGAGUGAACCAAGAUAAAUGUUGACUGAUUUAAUCUCAGAAACAGCUUUUUAUGGAUGACAUGAGUGACUGAUUUAGUCUGCACAGAUGAAAGUGAAGCACUGAGGCGUGCCAAACCAUCAGGGCUUCAGUGUUCGUACUCGUGUUGAAUCCAAACAGGAUGGAGUAAAAUUUGGUUUGCAUCAUAUUGAAUAUAUAACCCUUAGUGAAUACAACUGCAAUAGUAAUUAUUGUUUUCUCUCACUCUUAUAUACAAGCAAAGAUACAGUCAUACAGUACUAUCCCAUACACUGACAGUGUUUUUUGUUUUUUUUUAGUGCAGAAGGUGCACAAAAAUAAAACAAAUCAAAAACUCUGAGAUUUACUCACUCUAUCAAUCACUGUUUCACUUCUCCAAGGAGCACAAAAAUUGAAUGCAUGGUAGUAAAAGUAAAUUGAAUUCAGCCGUUAUGUUAGAGUAGUUAUGCUGCGUUCCAGUUGUACUGGGAAGUCAGGAUUUCUGAGUUCUGAGUAGGAAUUUUAUCAAACAGCGUUUCCCUCGGGUGAGCUACGCGACCUUCGUACGCCCACAGGCUGUAUUAAGUGUCAAUCAUAGGAAACGGGAACCCCUGAAUAACUUUUAAAAAUGUACAGAAAAAAGAGGACUUGAGCACAAACCAGUCUGACAGUAACUACAUGUCAACAUGUCAAGCAGGGGGGAGAAAAAAUUAUAUUCUGCCCAAUAAAUGUCUAAAGUUUGUCCACAGCUCCAUAGGGAUGGCUGGUGGAGGCGGGAUUAAUGACCUAUACUGCAGCCUGUCACCAGAGGGUGCUGUUCUCGGGUGGUUUCACCCAGCGAGGAGGCAGACGGCGUCCAUUCUAUAUACAGUCUAUGACUGGAACGCAGCAUUAAUGCCGAGCAGAAGAGUCUCACUUGUUCAUGUUCACUAUGAGCACCUGAAAUCACUUUCUAAAGGCUGUAGAACUGAGGUCUAGAUCACAUGACUUUCCAUCAAUCACCCUCUAAAUGAGAAAAAAAAAAGUACAGUGUACUUUUCACUCAGUGCUGAAAAGGUUGGACAUGAGAUUUUGAAUGAUGGGCCCUGGAGGAGCCAUUAUCCAGAGUUGUAGUUUUAAUGCUGGGCCUGGAGCAAAGUUAUGGUAAAACACAUCAAAGCUGCUUUAUGACUUUGUCCUCCUCAUGUCACAGCUCGCUCCGGCUGGCACUGGGCCCACAUGCCUUCGUCCUCUGACCUUGUUCAUGAUGUGGCCGUUAAAACUGGAGCGUGCGAAUACUCACGGCUGCUGUCCAACUCACAUACUCAAAGCCAAUAAACACACACACACUCAGACACAAACACACACACUCACACAGGGGCACACAGGACGGCAGUAAGGUGAGAGCCCCUCGUCUUUGUUUUGCAGUCAGCUAAAACAUGCCACAGCUCAUUGCACCAUUCAGCAUGAAAUUACAGUUUCUGACAGACGUCUGCUGAUGAGUGGGGAAAAGAAAACAAAAGGACAACAAGGUAACUAUCUGACACUGUUGCUUCAUAAAAGACUCCCUUUGAAAAACCUCCUUUUAUAUCCAGACACACUUGAGAUGUGACUGUAUUACCAAAGGUUUGGCUUUGAAAGGAGGAUGAAAUUCAUACUGCAGACUUUUUAGAAAUACAUGCACAUAAAGGAGAGGAUCUGAAGGACAUCUUUGGUCUUUGACUUGAGGCUAAUUACAGGCAAACGGGCCUGACAUGGACGAAAAAAGGGUUAGAAAAGAAGAGCCGGAGGGAGUGAUGACCAUUAAAGACACUCACAGAAUAACUCCCUGAAGCAGCAGAUGAAAUGUGGAGACUGAAAUGGAUUUGUCUUUGUAUGUGUGAGUUAUGGACAAGGCUGAAAGGCAAAAUAAGAAGAAACAAAAACCUCGCAAUUUUAUUAAAGUUUGAAGAAAAGAAGUUCAAACUGCUUUGGGGCAGAUCUGUUCUCUGACAGAAUAUGCUGUUUACAAGAAAUGCUUCAUUUACACCGAUCUCUGGCAAAGAGGAUAAAAUUUAAUGGAUUGAUAUAGUUUGUUGAAUAAUGAUUGUAUUGAGGUAAAACAGCAGAAAUUUUAAAUUGGUGUUUUGUUAAACCAGCUGCUACAUUUGUAAGUGAAUUAGCUAUCCUCUGUCAAGGUUUGUGGAUAUUGAUUUUGGGCUCAAGGAAUGUGUUCAGGAUGUGUUAGCUGCUCAAUAAUGAUUCAAUUCAAAUGGUUUAGAAUGAUCUGAAUUAAAUAAUCCUGUCGAUAAAUACUGCUAAUGACUGUCAUGAUGUGUUCUAGUAAUUAGUUUUCCUCUGAUUUUGAUCAAUUAAGUGUAUUUUCUUGUGUUUUUCCGAGUGUUUCUGCUCCCUAGUGUUCCUGUUCCCCUUUCAUCCUGUCUUGUGAGUUUUAAGUUUGUGUCUGACCCUGUUUCCCUCAUGUUCUCACUGUUUUUUUCUUUAUAUCAGUUUUCAGUGUUUCCUGUUUUAUUUUGUAGUAAUUUAUUCCAUGUGUUUCUAGUCUUGUGUUACUUCCUCAGUUUUCCCUCCUCAGUGAUUGUCUGCACCUGUGUCUCAGUGUCUCACCUGCCUCUCGUUGCUCGUUUCCCCGUGUGUGUAUAUAUAGUCCCUGUCUUCCCCUGUUUCUUGUUGGUUCAUUAUGUAUGUUUGUUGGUUGGUUGGUGUGUGCUCAUGUCUGUUUUCCCAGUCGCUCCCUGUGAUUUUGCCCCAUUUUGGUUCUUUAGAUUUUGCCUCUUGUGUUUUUUGCCUUUGGGAUUUUUUUAUUUGGAUAAUUAUAGUAUGUUUUUGUUUAACAAUGUUACAUGACACCAGUUCUGCCAAAAAGACCAAGAGGGUCAUGACUGCCAAUACUGCUGAGAACCCUCGAAAACCCCUUACUCCCCUCACAACCCCUUACUCCAAAACCAUACAUCCAAUACUACCGGUACCCUAAAAGAGACCGUUAAAAGACAGUACCAACAAAACUACCAAUGACACCAUAUCGCCCAAAAGACCAACCAAAAAUGACAAAAACCCCAAUACCACCAAAACUCCUACAGCAAACACUGUCAAUCAACACGGCCAAUAAAGCAAAUAAUGUCAACACCACCAAAAAGACCAAUACUGCCAAAAAUACCACAACCAUCAAACCCUCUGGUUCUGCUUGUGACAUCGAUUUAGUUGGAGAUUCAGAUGCUGCUGCUGUUGCUUAGAUGUCAUCUCCCAAUUGGAGGGUCAAGUGAUUCCGCAAGAUACUUGACCCCAACCAAACCUGCUGGCUGCGUCAAAGGUGUUUGGAUGGGAUAAGUCAUACAAUGAUGGGCUCUUUAGAUAGCAGCCUCUCAGUGAGUGAAUGGGUGAAGGUGACAUGUAGCAUAAGUGCUUUGAGUGUUCAGAAGGCUAGAGAAAGUGUUUUAUAAACAUGUUUCAGGAUCUGGACCACAACUCAAUCCUUCCUCUCUUAAUUCAAACCUUUCCACCUACUCUCCUUUAUUCUUCUUUUUAGCAACUCUUCUUUCCACACCUUUUUUUUUGCUAUUUCACCUAGUCCUCCUAACCAGAGGUGAUACUAUAUGACAGUGGAGCUAUUGAUUAAUAUUGGACGAUAUUAAUGAUUCAUAACAAUAAAAUUCACCAAAAUUAUAAAAAGGCACAUUUUCCUAAAACAGCUGUUGUUGUAUGAAGAGUCCCUUGGUGUGUGUGUGGUGAUUUCGGGAUCUACUGUAUAACAGUGGAGCUAUUGAUUUUUGUUUGCAGCAUCUUGCUCUGGUAUCGUAAUUUACAGACGAUCCCUGCGCACUCAUCCAGCUCGAAGAACAGCUUGUUUUUGUAAAAACAAAUAAAUUUUUGGUUCUUGUAGCUAGUAGUCUGUGCUAUUAUGACAUGAAAGAGGCAUCAUUUGUGUUUAGACAACAUUUCCUCUCAGAGUUAUUGAUCCCAGAAGUCCGAAUCUAUGAAUAUCUUUCCAACUUUACCGAACUUUGUUCCACUGCUGCCAUAAAUUAGCUUUCUGGCACAUGACACACAAAAACAAGCACCUGGCUCUUUCGGUUUUCGGCACCAGCUUCCUUGAGGCUUUCCAUCGUUUCCAGCCUCGCCAUUUCUUCGCCAUUUCUUCUCCUGGAUUGAUGCACCUGGCAUCCAUCGUUUGAAAUUUGCUGUCGCCGCUGGCUGAUGCGUCUUUUUCUUGUUCCACUUCUUCUUCUUCGGCAGGAUGUAUGUUAUCCAGUGUAAUGCUGUCCUUUACCGGUCAUAUUCAGAUCCAACCAACCAAGUUUUUUUUUUUUUUUUGACAUUAUUUAGAAAAAAAAAUUCCUUGCCAGAUUUCACUGCACCGUGCUGGAGGUCUUCAAGCAAUUUAGAGAGUUUUCCCGAGGCUAGACAGCAAGAAGUUCAACAUAUGAUUUUUGUCACUAUUCCUAGAACACCAAUUUCUUUUUUUUCCAACUAGUCCCACUUGAGUGUCAAGCGAUUUGCUGUAUUGAAGGAUCUCGCCAUUGAAGGAUAUUUUAUUGAGGUUCAGUCAUGUUCUGUUGAAGGUCAGUGAGAGGGAAGCUUUGUGUAAUGUCAGAGGUGGAGCUGCUGUAGGCCCCGUUUCCUGUAAAAGUCACCAUAUGUAAUCUGUUGACCUCUAUCCCCAUCACACACACAUGCACACACGACUGUUACCUUGGUUAAACAACGAAUCCCUGAGGAUACAGAGCUCUGACUCACAAUCACCCUUUUCUCUCUCACACAGCUCACUCGGUGGAAUUGAACAAACAGCCAAGAGCAACAUUUCUGACCAUGUGUACUAUGCUUUCAUUUUUUCUCUAAUGCAAACAUCUUACACAACAGUUAACAAAAAUGCACGUCAGCUUGUAUUGUGACCCCCCUGAGUUGCCCCCUGCAGUAGAGCUUUAUCAUGCUGUGACUCCUCGGAGGACCAGAGGCUUCAAUUGCAACACAAACUCUACCAGAGAGCUCCCGAAUGGCUCUAAAAGUGCUCACAUCUGAUCAAAUAAAGUGUUGUGUUGAAUUCCAGCUCUGUGGCUCUGUUAUUCAGAGGGCAUUUUUAUCCUUUUCUGCUCCAUAAAAUGUCUGUUACUGAGGAAUGUCUUCCUAUCGAUUUCAAAGGACAGUUUGACACCCUCUUGGUCUAUUGUAGAAAGCAUCGACAGCCACUUUCAGGAAGAAAGAUCCUGUCUCUCUUUCAUGUUAGAAGUAAAUUGGCUUCCUCUGAGGACUAACUUUUCAACCCACUCCUGUCUGUGGUGCACCUCUUGCUUUAAAGGUGGCAUUAAGAGAAGGGAAUGAAUAGCGGGAGACAAAUGGUGAAAGAAAGGACCGAAUGAGGGAGGAUGAAACUGUGGAAGGAAAAUAUCAUCUAGAUGUUUGAAGAGAUAGGAGGGUUGAAGUCAAAGAGCGUAAAGCAUAAAGCUUAAUGCAUCACUACAAGGUGCGCUGACAAGGUGUGCCCAAGCAAAUUUUGAUAUUUUGGUGAGCGGCGCAGCCCAGCGUAUGUAUCCCCCCUCCCUAACUCAGCUCCUCCCAGCGGCAUAAGUCGUAGAGAGGGCGUGGAGUGGGACCUGACCACAGCCGAGACCUGUUUUCGCCAGCUUGGCGGACCUCGGUGCGCCUCAGUCUGCGAAAAUACCAAGCGGCUGUACGCUGGGCUCCGCCAGAGGGAAAUACCACUGUGCGGGGUCUGCCACCCUCCGCCGCGUCACCGGCGGGCAGGAAAAUAGAGCCCUUAACCUUAGCUGUAAGCCAUCUCUAAUGACUCUUUGUUUGAUUUCGCUGUUUAUUUCAUGGAUUUUUUUGAAAGCAAUAAAAAGACUUUGAGGUCAAAGUAAAGGCUUGACUUGAAGGAUUAUUGUAUUUUAUUAAAAGGACUCUUCUUUGGCAAGAUUCAAAGAUUCAUCUUUGAUUCAUAAUGAAAAGGUUUGGAGAUAGUAGAAAAGUGCUCAAACUGGAGUUAAGAGUCUAACUUUGGGGUCAUAAGAUGAGAGUUUAUGACGGCUUCCUCUGUUAUAACACUGAGCUGAUAACAGUCUGACUCCUCAUACAGCCUCAGGAUCAGAAUAAACUCUCUACAAAGUUCACAGUUUCUCCUCUCUGUGCUUCGAUCACUAACACAGCUCACGUGGAGGACAUUUUUACUCACUGAUUCAUGUUACAUUUUUUGUGAAGGGGAUGUUUUCUAUUGAGGCUGAACACUGAACUCAAACACACCUGGUUUCAAAGACAGUAAGUUGUGGAGAGGAGCUCUUACCUGUCGUCUGCUUCAGCCUGAUGUGUUAUCUGUUUGACAUGUGAAGCUGCGGAGAAAAAAAAUUCCCUCAGACAUUUGCAGGUUUUUCUCCUGAGGCGAGAAAUUUCCUCCCAGAGGAAGUGAACACUAGAAUUGUGAUUAAUUAUUUAUAGACAGACAGUGUGAUAGGAGAGAGUGAGAGCAGACUAUGCUCAGCAGAAAUGUCUGAGUUUUUCUUUUCAAGUAGUUAGUUUCACUUUUAGAUUCAAUAAAAUAAAUCAAAUCCACGGUAACUAUAAAAUGUUUUCCAUCAUAAGGUUUAUCCUACAGCCCAGGUCAUGGUUUUCUUCUUUGAAAUCAUAAAAUAUGACAUGGCGCUAUAAAAUAGAAAUUUCACUAGAAUUAAAAUGCCUCUGAUACUUAAACCAAAGAGUGUAAUCCCCUUUUGCAAAGAAGUGAUGAAACAUUCAGUACGUUUACAUGACACUCAAGAAAACUGAAUUAUUGCCUUACUCUGAUUAAGACCGGACAAAGAAGUGCAUGUAAACACCUUAGUCCGACUAUAAGAUUAAGAUAUAUAUAUAUAUAUAUAAGAUUUUUUAUGUGUUACAGACCCCACACAUGAAGAAAAAGAUCAGGCAUUGAACAGUUUUGAUCGUACUCUGUGUGGUGUGCUCCGAUAAUAUUUUUAUUCACUUUAUUUGGUUCCUUGUCCCUCAGUCAGCUCGCUUCUUGAUUGGCUACAUUCCGUUUCACGUGACAAUUCACGGAGUCAUGAUUCGGGAGUCGUUGGCUUUCCCCACACGUGGAGAUUUUUGGUCGUAAAUAUUGAAAAAGUUUGGUAUUUACGAUUGUCGGCCCUGACCCGUUUUGGAUCCAUUUAUCGGGACAAAUUCACUCUUAAUACACCUCAGACCACAGGAUAAUCUUAGAGUAUAAUCUUAGAAGACAUAAGAUAAUCUUCCGAUUGUCGUCCUUGGUUGGGAGGGGGAAAAUCGGGACGAAAAAAGCCUGAUUAUCUUUAUGUGUGUACCCUGCUUAAGACACUUAGAUAAUGUGAUUGGAAUUCUAUUUUCUCUACCAUGUAACCAGUGUAGUUGGAGUAUGAUUGGACAAUGCACAUGCGCCACGCCCCCGUAACCCCGGAACAAAAACACCAGAGAAGAGAAGUGGCGUGCACCUCAUCUCCAGAAAAAAUAGCGCGUACAUCAUGUACGACAAAAGCAACGCUGCAUGCUGCUCCAUCUUCUUGCUCGAAAAAUGCCCAGCAGCAGUUGUAGCCUCUUCUGACGUCUGUUGUUGUUGACGAUUGUAUGGGGUCGAAAACAGUGCCGCUGAAAAGACCCAUAUCGCCCCCUAGUUUUGUGGAGGAAGACAUGUUCACAUCAAUAAUUCAAUUUUCUCAGCUGUAUGUAUAUACAGAGAAGGAGAGAAGUCUGAUUCGGCAAACAAAAACAAAUUAUGAGCUUAGUCCGAUUAGACUGUGCAUGUAAAUACACUGAUUGUAAUUUUACCACACACCCUGCACCAAACAAGAAGUCAUCUGUUAACUGUAUAUUAUACAUUAAAGAACAUUUCUGUAAAGCAGUAACACAAUAAUGCCAGAAGUUCCACUAUAGGAAAGACGCGAUGAUGCUGAAUACUAAGAAUCCUGUCUUGAUAAUGCCUGUUUUAUUUUCCACUAUGGCCUCAUACAACCAGAGAUAUUACAGGCAGAUAUAUACAUCAGCUGAAAUGGUAUGGAGAAAUAGAUGCUCUGCAGGGACAAAUGCACUGAAAUAUGAAAUUAUGCAUUCAUGCUGCACCUUGGAAUGAAUUGCAAAGUCAAUUUAAUGUGGAAGAGAGACAUAGGAGCCAUCGCAGGAAGGUAUUCAGUCUGUAUUUUACUCCUCUCAUGCAAGUUUUGAAUUAUACUGUCUGUUUCACUUUUCUGGUCGUUGCCAAUUUGGCUACAACUACCGACUAAUUUGUUCACUAGUUUAAGCGACAUUAAUUUCUGAUCAACCAAUUUAUUCUGCAGUCUUUCCACAUCCAAAAAGGACUGCUUCAAUUUGAAUGAAAGACUUCGAGAGAUAAAAUAAGACAGUGACAUUUUAGAGGAUGUAACUUUUAACUUGAAAUUCAAACCAAAUCAUCAAAAGAUGUUCAAAAUAUUCAGUGACUGAACUUUGAUUAAUUUAGCAAAAACACAAUUACAAUAAUGACCCAAUAACAACAAAUGAGCCAUAGAAGCAGUAAAUAAAGAGGAUGUAAAUCAAUUUAAAGAUCAGAAUAUUUAUUUCAGAGUCUUAAGGUUCUUAAGGUUCAAGCUUGGGGUUUCCAUAAACCACCAUUCAGUCUGUGAUGAAAAAAUCAUCUCAUUAGCUUUCAGAUAUUUGUGCUCGCAAAAGAGAAAAAUGGUUUGUUUAAAUGUAAAAGUAAGAGCUUAAAAGGGACCUUUUGACCUGGAACUGGUGGGUGGAGGUCUCAGAUGUGAUCGGUUGAUUAUAUGAAACAUAAGGCGCGAGGAGAUGAGAUGCAGUAUAUAUGAGAGAUAAAGUGAAAGAGCUUUUUCUGUAUAUUUGAGAGUGAGCAGGUGGAGGCACAUUAUGAGAAGAUUCAGUGAUAAUGCAGCUCAGAGGAGGACAGAGUCCAUCACCUCUCUGACAUGACAUGCUGAAGACAGCGACACUGUGUACAGUGUUCACAGAGGUCACUCUUCUAAUUAUACGUCCACAAGCGCCACACAACUACACCACCUCUAAUUCCGCCCUCCCUUACUUCUUUCCCUCCUGGGGAAACAUAAAUGGAAAUUAGCUCUGCUCUCCUGGGCAAGGGUAGGUGACAGUGAGGAAGAAAUACUCUCACCUUCUUCUUCACUGUCGUAUAAUAUCUGCCGCAGAGCUGUCUGAGUGUAAGAGAUAAGUUAUAGAUAAUGCACAUGACUGAAUGGAUGAAUAAAACAUGCUCCAGGCUGUCUGAUGACAGGUCAUCUCUGCAAAGCAAAAUACAAACAACACACAACAAAAGUUGUUGAGUUUUGGAGGAACGGCAUGCAGCUCUUGCAGGGAUGAUCUCCAUGACAACAGCCACAUUCUUAGAGAGGGGGAGAAGCAAUGUUACCGGACCGGGUAUCAUGGGAUUCAUGAAGGCAUAGCCAUUCAUCAGACGCAGAUUGGGGUCAGUGUUUACAGUGAGAAACAUGGAGGAAUAUAAAUAGCAGCUGCUGGGACAUGCAGUGACACACACACACACACACACACACACACACACACACACACACACACACACACACACACACACACACACAGAGUGAGUCCUGAUUUUCAUUCAGACUUGACAUUACUCUGUGAGAACAUCAUGUCCCUUCUGAGUCUCAUUUAUGCUCCUCCUGCAUGACCACAAAGUGACACAUCUGUCUUUUGCUCUCUUUCAGUGAAUUUAUCAUCUGGAUAUCAUGUCAACUAUUACACACACUUUUUAAAUAACAGCCUGUAACAUUAUGGGGAAAUUUCAGAAAACAUUAAAUAUGAUCUCAUGUCCUGAUUUUAGGCUGCACUAUUAUCCUGAGCGCAUAUUCACACCUUCCUACCUCUAUUGACUUUUUGCUUUACAUGCAGGAGAAACAGGACGCCUUUAUGCUUGUGAUGAUGAGCCAAAUCUCAAGUUCUAUGGCUUAACAUCAGGGCUGGGUGAUAUGGCCUCAAAUCAAUAUCAUGAUAUAUUGAGCAGUUCACUACUACUCCACAAGCUGCUCACCCCCUCCCACAUUAACUGUCUACUCCAGCCGCUACAACUUUUGAACCGUCCUCCAUCUCCUCACCUGUCUUUCCCUCUUUGUUAUGGACUGGAUGGGGUGGAGUCACGUCUCUGACAGCAUCUUAAAGGGACAUGAGACCAUAGCCUACCUACGCACAUCCAAAAUCAACUUUUAUUUAUUAUUUUUUGACAUCAAAUAUAUUGGCAUGGGCAAAAUGACGUCUGUUAUUGUUGUAAAUUUUGUUUUUUGUGAAUUUUCGGUUUAUCGCCCAGCUCUACUUAACAUACUCAGCUUAAACAAAACUGAAAUGACAGUCCGUUGAUACACUGAAUCAGCUUAUACUUAAGUUAACUAACCCUUGGUUGACAGAGACAGUUCUCUCUACUCUAAUGAAACUGAAGAGUAAAGGAUUGGAAAAUCUAAAAGCAGCAUGAUGUUGAGUUCAAUAACAAAGAGAUGAAGCGUGGUGUUAUUCUGACAGAUGUUUCUGCUCUCUCUGUCUGUUGUUGUUUUUUGUUGUUUUCGACCCCGACAUCCGUCAUUGACCAGGUUACAUCGAGAGUCAGCAGGUGUUGGUGAAAACACUGCUUGGUUGCAUCAGCGAGGAAUGAUGUCCUUUAGUGAAAAAGAGGAGGAAAAAGAUGAACGACACCGACGAUGAGAGAAAAGUGAUGCAGGGAGGAAGCAGGAACCAGAGUAUCAAAAACCCAAACUGCUAAGUUGACAGUGAAAGUAAAAGUCAGAUAAACUGGAAAGAAGCCAAGGGAGCUGUCAAGGAAAGGACAAAUUAUCAAAAUUUAAAGGACCACUCUCUUUUCAAUUCUUAUUUUUCUUUAAUAUUUCAAGAGUUUCAAAAAGUUCUGAUUAAGAUUUGACUCCAGUGCCACUCUUUCAGUGUGAUAAAGUCUCUUUAACUAGAAUUAAAGACAUAUUCACCUUGAAAGUUACUCCAUACUUUAAACAAGCUGAAUUUCAUAAAGUAUCUUUUUCCCACUUGGCUGUCAGUCGCCAGAUUUUCGUCGAUGAAGGUCGAGGUUUAUCAAAAAUGUAAAACAUCUGUUUUAUCCACGUCCUUCAGAUUUUCUGUUUGGCUGCUGACACUCUGAACAACCCCAGAGUGAGUUUCUUAUUAAUAAUAUAAUUAUCGUUUUAACAGAAAGAGCUGAGAACACCUAAAAAAAUGAAAAAGAAACUCUUGGCAUUCAUGAAUAGGUUUAGACGUGUUCGUGUGACAAUGACACAGAAUAAACCGACUGAAAGGCAGCCUUUAAAAAUAUCAUACUCCUACCAGACUUCAACUCUUUAACACUCUGACUGCUUUUUCAUCAUCUGUGGGUGGUCUGGUUUGACGUUUCCCUAAUAACAUCCCAAAAAUGUGUCCUGCAGGGUGACAAUUUUAGUUACAAUUCAGCUCCUGAGUAAGUGUUGGAAAAAUAACCUUUGAGAAUCUAUCUUUGUUCACCGUGACGAACAUUGACCCGAUAGUGUCAUUGUUAGUGUGACUGAAGUCUGAAAAAGCAGAGAAAGGACAGAAAAAGUACAACUGAUGUAAAAUAUGACGACACCCUCCUCCACAGAUGUGUGAAAAUGACCGUAGUGGGUGAGAAAAAGGGACGUGGUGGACCCUGUUGUUUCUCUUCACAUGCAGGUGACACUGGUGGGAGAUUCAUGUUUUAUUCUUUCAUGAACAUUUGAGAGUUGAGGAGCUUUAUUUCUAAAAACAACCGCCCGCAGUGUCGACAGACGAUUUCACACCACGUCUAUAAAAGCCUGUACGUGCCAAAGUGUCCUUUUUUCGUACUUUCUGUUCAAAGGAUUUAAUAAGGCUCCCUCUGACAAAGAAAAACAUCAAGAUCAGACAAGAAGUCGUCUUCAGGGUCACAUCUCAUGCAGCUUCACCUGCGUCAAGCGCUCAGGGGCUCAGUCACUCUAGGCCUGCACAUCUCUGUGUUGUUACUCUUUCUGUUUGUCUUCAUUUACAGAGACAGAGCAAAUAAUCCUCCAUCCCUUUACAUUUGCAAACCAAGAAAUUCUGUUUAUUUGUUCUGUUGUGUUCACACAGCAAAUGUUGACUGAGGGUGAAUUAAGUUUGUAUACAGAGUGGGAGAUAAUCUGAUUAGGAGCAUGGCCGUCUCACUUUAAAUAAAGGCCCUGUGGGUUUGUGUUAAAUGUUUGUUUUUUAACAGAAUCACAUAUAAUCCUAUUGCAAGGACACAGACGUUCACUGAUGGGUCAAUAUGGCUGAAAUACAUUUAGGAGUCCAAAAAGAAGAAGAAAAAGUUUGCAAAACUAAAUAAAAUGUCAUGAUUUUGCCAUCAAAUCAUCUAUCUUUAGUUUUUUUUUACUUUAACAUCGAUCACGCUGUCAAGUAGAAAAUAUGAGACUGUCGAGAUGAAUCUUCACAUUGUGCCACAGUUCUUCAGAUUUGACUUGUCUCACGGACUUUUAAAUGAUUUGGGAUUUUGUAAAGACACAUUUAACCCAUAAAGACCUGAACCCUGUCUGAGACGCGCCCCUGAAAUCCUGAGGGCCAUUUUAAGAAGGGCCCCAAGAUCCUGAGGUUUUCUGAAGUGUUGAGGUUUACAAAAACGCUGAUAUCUCAGCCUCUGGAGCAGAUAGAAACAAAAUUCAAAAAGUAUUUGAGAGAAUAACUAUCAUUUAUUUUUCCAAACUUUCAUCACCUUAUUGAAAACCUUGAACAAACAAACUCAAAUGAAGUAAAGCGGCUGUAUAAUUAAAAGUAAAGGCUCUGCACUUUGCUUUCUGUAAAACAGGUGUUGAAAGGGUAAACAGCUGCCCGAGUAUAGUGCCAGUACAAAAGCAGCACUAGAAAUUAAAAAAUAAAUAAGUGACUGACAGUGUGUUCAUCUCUGUGCUCACCCCAAAGUCAUGCAACACUCACAGAAAUCGCAGAUAGUGUAAGUCAAAGCACUCAAUAUGAAGAGGUUGUUCACACUGCUGGAUGCUUCUUCUCCGAAGCUGCUCUCUGCCUCCGUCGUUGUUUACUUUCCUCACGAAGCACAGAGCAAGAUCCGAGAAUGAAUCCGAUCGCUUUACUCGCCUAUCGGAGGCAGACGGGUAUGGUGAUUUGAUUCGCCACGACUCCAGAAAUAAUUAAAAAACCACAGAAUGCUACAAAAUGACGUAUCCGCGCUCCCAGCAUAAAGGGUAGGAAUGCGCAGUGGCGCUGCUGGCUUGGAAGGUUGAAAUGCGUACACGCUGCUUCAGGCUUGAAGGGUAGAAAUGCGUACAUGCACCCGGCUUUCCGAGUAGAAAUGAGCAGCCACACUUGAAGGUUGAAAUGCGUACAUGCUGUCCCGGUUUAAAUGGGUUAAAAAUGUUUUGUAAAUGAGUUCAUGGAUACACACCACUGGAACGGCAUCCAGCUCUGCAGAGGGAAGUAUAUUUCUUGGGGAUGUUGAAGUGGUUUUCUUGUAUCUGGUCGGAACGCCUCCUGAUCACCCGGAGGAGGGCCAAAGGCUGACCCACAACUUGUUAGAGGGAUUAUUUGUAGCUUGUGAACAACUCGAAAAGUCCCAGGAGAAACUGUGAGGAACGUCUGGCUUAACUCCUGCUUCGAACACAACCUAUCACUGAAUUGGCAAACGGAAAUAAGUGGAUGGAUGAAUGAAUAGAUGGAUUAAUGGAUGAUUUCACCCUUUAGCUCCCUGUGUGCAAAAAGCAGCUACAUUUAUUAGUGAUACCAUUUUACAGUCUCUUUGCUCUGGGGAUUUUAGACAUCCCAGCUCUUUUAUCACUAUGGCAACAAUGAUGUUUCGGCCCUGCAGCCAUGUUUUUAAUGUGUCAUCACCAACAGUGCCGUGACCUGGAGUUUGAGUGCUUUCUGGUUGAAAAAGGAGGUCUGUAGUGAGAAACUCCUCUGGGACCCCAAAGAUCAGGAAAGUGCCCUCAGAAAAAACAUCAGGAGGAAUCUGCUAGAUCUCCGACCGCCCACGCACGCCCGCCACUCUCUGUGUCGAUAUGUCUCUGGUUUCUCACUCACUGCCUUGAAGCUCAUGUUGAAAAUCUUUCCUCCCGUUUUACUAGAUUUUGUCCUUGCCUGUGUGUGAGGGAGAAGCAGAGACGUAAAAUUAAAUUCAAAAAAUGUGAAUUUAACCACAAAAAGCCCCUGGCUAUCACUGCUGUGCCCUCUCUUCUGCUCUAACACAAACUCUCCUCCUCUUUUUUCACCCUCAGACUGUGAUUUUUACACUAAAUGUUUCCUCUCAGCCAUUUGUGGCUGUUAGGGGGACACUGACAGCUGCUGUGAGGCAUGCUGGGAAAUGUGGGAAAUGUUUCCUGAUGAACAGACCAACCCAAACCUCCAUGAACUAAGCUUUUUUUUUUCUCAGACUGGCAACUAUCCCUCAAUCUGUGUUUCCAUUUUCUGCCUCAGCUCCAGCAGAUAUCUGUGGAAAAUCCAUCCACUCUAUUUCUGUGAACCAUGACUAAUUCUUUAUUUGAUUUUCUCUUUUAUUUUGACAGCCCACUAUUUAAAUCAGUCGGUACCUGUUUAUUUUUUAUGAAGCACAAUUUAAGUUUUUAUUUCUUCUCAUUUUAAAUCAAAUCAAAACUGUUUCUUCAUUAUCCCUGCAGUAAAUCUUUUACAAGAGUAAGAAUCAUGAUUUUGUGUGUUUGUUUUACUUUGAGUGUAAAGUUAACGCAGCAGAGUUAAGCAUGGUAUAUUCUUCUCCAAUAAAUAUUAAAGGGAUAUUCCGCUGUAAAAUAAAGUCAUGGUCAAACACACCGUAACACCGAGUUAGACACCCUGUCGAGAGAUGACAGUUGCCGACCGCUUGCUUCUCGAGUUAUACCAACUUUAGUAACGACCGCACGAUAGCAAUACACAGCAGUCUGAGGAGCCAUAAACGAACCUCAACCAAAACGCCACUCUAUAGCCACAAAUAAUGCUCAGAACAGCACCUAACUUCAUCAACAGUACAUAUAGGGUCCCAGCCAUAGUACUAGCCACCAAACAUCUUUUUAGCUUUGACUAAUUUCUUCAGCAAAGAGACUAAACACAACUCACCUACUCUCUUCCAGUAGCCACUUGUUUGUAGCAAGACCUUGGGCUAGUCCAUUACAGACUGCAGCGGGGGAACACAGCUCAAGGAAGAACAUUUAUGGUAAUUUCUACAUGGAAAUGCGAUCAGACCGAGACGUUAAAGCAGAAGAACUACCGCGUCUGCAGUGCAAAAGGAUUAAUAUGGUGAUUAUUACUUCAGGGAAAUGAUAAAGUAAUGAUCAUAAAUGUUCUUCCUUGAGCUGUGUCACCCUGCAGCAGUCCUGGCCUGAGGUCUCGCUACAAACAAGCAGCUGCUGGAAGAGAGUAGGUGAGUUGUGUUUAGUCUCUUUGCUGAAGAAAUUAGGCAAAGUUAAAAAGAUGUUUGGUGGCUAGUACUUUGGCUAGGACCCUAUAUGUACUGUUGAUGAAGUUAGGUGCUGUUCUGAGCAUUAUUUGUGGCUAUAGAGUGGCGUUUUGGUUGAGGUUUGCUUAUGGCUCCUCAGACCGCUGUGUAUUGCUAUCGUGCGGUUGUUACUAAAGUUGGUAUAACUAGAGAAGCAAGCGGUCGUUAACAUAUAUCUCUCAAGGGGGUGUUACGGUGUGUUUGACCCUAACAUUAAUUUUACACCAGAAUAUCCCUUUAAUCUUCAUCCAAAAAAGCAGGGCUGUGUUUGUUUGAAUACAAGCAGCAGAAGACAGAGAAAGGAAGUGAAUCCCACCAUUCAUCCUCUGUAGUCUCAUCAGCAGCUGCUCUGCGGCCUCUAUCCAAUAACCUUUCUAAUCACAGCCCAAACAAGCCAAUCAAUGCUCUUAUUGCCUUAAAUAGAAACAUCUAUUUCUCAGAUGUGAACCUAAUCAUAAAUGCCCUUGUUGUCCUGCAGCGCUGGAAGUUCACACUCUCUCUCUUCAUUUGCAGUGAAUAAUGAUUUGACAUCAUUAUUUCCUAAAAUGCAGCUGUUGUAAACAGUGUUACAGCUGCAGCAUCAAUACAACUUAAUCUCCUCCAGUCUGAGUCUGACUUCAGUGCAGUGGGAGCAGGUGAGCAUUUACCUGACCAGUUCUGGGGUCAGUAUAUUCAGACCUCUAGUGUACGGGGAUCUGCUUCACAACUGAACAUGGAUACACAUUGCAAAAAUUUCCCCAAGCUUCAGAAAACAACAUUCAAAACCUUUCAAUGUUUUUUCAUAAUUUGUGUUUUAUAGCUGAAAGCUGCUUGUCCCAUUACUGAUAUGAGCAUGACUAAUGACUACAGUGAAACUUGUGAAUGAGCUGCAGGAAGAAAAAAAAAACAAAAGCUACAAAGAAAGUGUAAUUAUGCAUAAAAUCAAAGUGAGUUUUGGUUUAGAGCUAGUAGCAUGCGUUACAUCAAACAAGCCUUUUUUUCCCCUAAUAAAAUACAUUUAGGGUGGAUUGCUCCUGGCAGAUGAAGCGCUUUCUUCUACCCCCUGAACUAUGUUUCAAUGUGUUGCCAUUGACAACCCCUGCUGGCAAUGAUCCAGGUCAAGAAGUGACCGUUUGAAGAUGAUGUAAUUUCAAAUUGACAUAAAGGGGAGUAAAAUGAUCCCCUUGCUGAUAUAUAAUUAGACAUGGCUUGUUAACCGUGUAAUUACAGAUGGAUUUAAUCAUAGGAUGAGGUCUGAGAUAGACAAGGACAAUGUGCAGGUCAGUUUUAAGUAGUAGGUGACAUUACAAUGUCCUAGUAAAUGACAUUAAAUAGGGUUUGAUGGUUUUUAUUUGCAUUCACUGUUGCACUAAAUUGGUUUCCAGGUGUGCAAGUAUGAUGGUGUGAAUCGUAGACAAUGCAAAGUCAUUUCUUUGAGCUUUGAAGCCAAAAUACUGCCUUAGUGAGCGCAGACAUAUUGCUUGGAUGGAGCAAAAUCACAGGCAGAAGUGAUCUAGGAAGUGAAACAGAGGGGCUGACGUCAACCCCCACCUGCUAACCAAAACAAAAACUUACUAAUAAUAACAUCAAAUAUCCACAGUCCACAGCCGAACAGAUUUUUGUGUUGGUUUGAAGCAAACACUCAUGAUUAUGGAAAGUUCAAUCACUCCAGAGUCGGUGUUCAUUAUGUUUCCUCUCUCCUCUGCCAAUCUGUUCAGAAAAACAAUGCAGGAGAGUGAAUUCAUCAACAGAGCUGUCAAUCUUUUCGACAACUAAUUAACUGAUCAAAACCAAACUUCUCCAAGACAUGAAAACCAGCACUUAAACUAGAAUGAUCAAAACAACUGCUGUGAUACAGAGCAUGUUUCACUUGGACUCAUGUUCCAUCUGUUAUAAUGUUGGAGACAGGCUUUCUGAGCAGAGAUUGUACCUGCCCAGGGCCGUUUCUUUGAGUUAAGAACACAGGGGGCUCAGCCUGGUUCCCAACUUCACAAAAAGAAGAAGUCAAAGGAAGAAAACCAUCGCGGCCAUAAAAGGGAUAUUUGACCUGGAGUAAGGAUCAUAUCUCUUUUAGUACCUCAGUAGAUCAGCUGGUAAGGAGUCUGAACGAGAUCAGCAAUUGCGGUGAAGAACACAAAUAUUAAAAGUUUGAGUGUGAAACACAACAGACUUAAAGACUGGAACAACCAAUACCAAUAUUUCUAAACGAUUGAAAGAUAAAAUUAAUUUAAGGUCAGAAAAUGACAACUAAAACUAAUGACUACAAUUUAAUUACUUUUUAAUGACCAUAACUGGACUUCAGUGUUUGAACUUUUAAUCAAUCGAAACUAGGCUUAUACUAUUUAAAACAAAAUGACUAAAAUGUAAGGCUGGGCAAUAAACCGAAAAUUUACAGACACUGAAAUUUACGACAAUAACCAUUGUCAUUUUGCCCAUAUUGGUAUAUUCCGUGUCAAAAUAAUUUAUAAAUUACAGUCGGUUUUGGAUGUGUGUAGGUAGGCCAUGGUCUCAUGUCUCUUUAAGACGCUGUCCUACGUCAGAGGCAUGACUCCACCCCAUCCAGUCCGUAACAAAGAAGGAAAGACAGGUGAGGAGAUGGAGGACGGUUCAAAAGUUGUAGCGGCUGAAUGUGGGAGGGGGUGAGCAGCUUGUGGAGUAGUUAUUGUCCAUUUAUCGUUAUAGGUGAACAUUAUAGGUAGAUCCGCAGAAGACGUUGGAUAUAAACGAUUUCUGUCGACUUUGCAAAGUCAACUGCAGAAUUAAUGGCGUUCUAAAUGAACGGCGCUUUGAAAAGUCCUGCAGCAUGUGUUAGACGUCACCAUCUACACAUGGACCAAUCAGGGGCUGCAAUAGGGCGCCAUUUUGAAAUUAGCCAAAAGGAUGUGAAGAGGGUGAUCACCUGAGCUGUCAGCUGACUGAGGGCUGGCUUAAGAUCAGCUGACUGUAGCCUGUAGCUUGACUCCGUGUCCCGCCUGAACUACCGCUAUGCUUCAUUUUAGUCCAAAGAUUUAGAUGAGGACCAAAUCUAAAAUAGCUGACAAAAUUAACUGUUGUCUGUCAACCUUCACCCUUUUGAUCAGCUACUAGGUCCUACUUAACUCAGCUCCAUUCAACUUCAAUAGCCUACAUGUCACUUCUCAAGUAUGCAACCCAAAGUCAUUCACAAAGAUAGAAAGAAAAGUCAAAAUAUACAACAAGUUUGUGAAAAAACUCACGAAUGAACAAAAAAAAAAUCUGUUAUAGUAAAAGUUUUAGUGAUGAAGUGUCUUCAACAUGGCUGCCAGGGUGCAUAAAUCCUGCCAGAUCCAGAGAUGAGAGUGUGUCUGUGUGUCUGAGAUUGUGGCUUCUUGGUUUGUGGGGUCAGAGAGAGAGCAGAAAACAGGGACAGAUGUAAUCAUUUUUGACAGAGUGGAGAGGAAUAGAGGAGAGACACUCAGCUAUUCCACAGUAUCCCACUAUCGCUACAUGUGGGUGUGUGACUCAGAGAUAAGAAAACAUCUAUUCAAUAAACCAAUAAUAACAGACAUGACAUACACAACUUCUAUUCACCAUCUCUGACCAUGAAGAAAACAAACAUAUAUCCAUCAGUACACCUCUCAUCUUUAUGCUCAACACGACUCAGACCAGAGGGAAGUUUUCUUGGCUUUCUGUAACUUUGUGUAUCUUGACAAUAAAAACAAAAAAAGAGGCCACAUGUCUCACACAAUCACUGCUUUGAAAGUCAGAGUAAUUAAGACACAAACAUUUGAAUUAAUCAAUAUCUUCUGCAAAAAGUGACAAAUAUAUUCUGUCAAAAUAAAUAAAUACUGCAGAGAUGUAUCACUCCUUAUCAGACAGCACACAAUUAAACAGAUACAGUCUGAUCGCACAGUCUGAUGCCCGCCUCCUCUUGCCACAUUAAACAGAAUAAUGUCGUUCUAAAAAUAAGAUAGGUACAUCACAGAAUGACUAAUGACUUCUGCAAAAUGAUAGAGAUAAAUCAAAUGAAGCCUCUUUUGCUAACCAUGAGAUGGCACUUUUUUAUCGGUCUGUCAUAUUAUUGUUGUGUCGGUCAAUUUCAGUAACAAAAUAGUCAUCUGAACGGAUAUUAUAUCUAAAAGCAAAAAUGGAGAAGUCUAGAUAGCACAGAUUUUAUAGGAAGGAGCAGUUAACGUACUUGAUAAUUACAUGAAAUCAACCCGUUUCUUCUUCCAGCAGUUGGAUUAAAAAGAUCUUUGUUCAUGAUCUGUGUUCAUAAAAGUCUAACAUGGGUUAAGUCUGACUGAAAACCUGUCAUUUCUCAGAAUGAAAUGACUGUGUGGUUCAACACACAGGCAGCUGAGUGUUAUGAACAGGUACAUUCUGGAUUCCUGACUUAUAUCAUUAAAUAAGUUUCAUAGUGAGUCUAUGUCUGUCUUUGUGGACAAUAACUGAUUGUAUUAUAAACAUAGAUCAAAUAAUAAUAAUAAAUUUUAUUUAUGAUGCACUUUUACAGGUGCUCAAAGACGCCUUACAAAGAAAAAGAAGAAAACAAAAUAAAAAGCAAUUUGAAAUACUGAAAAUUUUGAGAAAUAAAACCAACAAUGUAAAAGGUUAAAAAAGAGCAAAGAUUUUGAUUUGAGAUCAGUAAACUCAUAAUAAAUUUCUACAUUAACAAAAACAUGCUUGCCCACCAUGUUGAUGAUGAAUAUUGUUCUGACUCAGCAGGUAUUCGUGAGCAUUUUCUAACCUGGGAACUUGUUUUUCGGAUUUGUUCAACACCACAUAAAUUCAGCAUAAUACCUAGGGGUGUGCUGAUGCACCUUUUUCACCUCCAAUACAAUACCGAUACUGUAGCCUUCAAUAUUGGCCGAUACUGAUAUUGAUCCGAUAUUAGCACAAACUUGUGCAUGACAAGUUUUGCACUCAGCUGCAACAGGGCCGACAUCACUCCUACUCCUUACUACUUUGUUUGCACCUUUAGUACACACUGUUGUUGUGAUCACAUGGACUCUACAUGCUGGAAUAUGGGCGCUGCUAGAUAGAGGUAAUGGAGCGGAGUCUGGAAUGGACUGCUUCAAUCGGAGAGCUGAUAUCAGAGAUUUUAGAUGCAGGCCUAUAUAAUCUGAUAUUCAAAUUUUUGCUGAUAUCGGUCCAAUAUCCGAUAUCAAUAUCAUAUCGGAAUACUCCUAAUAAUACCUGCCAUUUUCCUUCUUUGUUUCUUUGGUGUGGCAUCUUCAUAGCUUGUGCUAAGUUCAGGCACUAAGGGAAGACAUAUAUUGAUGGUGUGCUUUCAGAGUCCGAAAGGUUUUAGAGGGUCUGGAACAAACAGAGUGGAAACCUGACUGUGCAUGUGUCACAGACUGGACUGGAUUUAUGGAUUAUGGAUGAGGGGUUCAGCAGGGGUCAGGUUUACUGUGAACAGGCCUCCUUCCAGCGCAGUGCAGGCAGAACAGGGGAGUGUGGACACACGGUCAUAACUCAGAGUGCACUCAGCAGUCAACUCUGAUUGACCCGAGAUCUCCUCUUCCUAAAUGGUCGAGGGGAGACACAGACCAUGAAGCUGGAAGAGGAGACAGAGAAAAUGAACAUGUAGGAGUGCUUCAAACAGAACUGUUUCAUUCUGUCUGACAAAACGUCUCUGUCUGUCUGCAGGUGGAGAGUACUGAGCUCUGAAGUAGUUCACUGAUUUACUGAUGAGCACAGAGACUGGAGAUCUUUUUUCUAUAAUAGUGAGGCUGGGAGCUGUAUCAUUUAGUACUCACUGCUUUUUUUCCUGUUAGUACCCUGUUAUUACACAGUAUAAUCUCAGGUAUGUCCUACUUCAAGCCUACAAUGUCCCUCUCUUUUCCCUCUUUUUCUCUUUUCCUCAUGGAAAUGCAAUCAGACCGAGACACUGAGGCAGAAGAACUAACAGUGCAAAAUGAUUAAUAUGGUGAUUAUUACUUCAAGGAAAUGAUUAAGUAAUGAUCAUAAAUGUUCUUCCUCGAGCUGCGUCACCCUGCAGCAGUCUGUAAUGGACUGGCCCGAGGUCUCGCUACAAACAAGCGGCUGCUGGAAGAGAGUAGGUGAGUUGUGUUUAGUCUCUUUGCUAAAGAUGUUUGGUGGCUUGUGCUGAGGCUAGGACCCUAUAUGUACUGUUGAUGAAGUUAGGUGCUGUUCUGAGUAUUAUUUGUGGUUAUAGAGUGGCGUUUUGGUUGAGGUUUGUUUAUGGCUCCUUAGACCGCUGUGUAUUGCUAUCGUGCGGUCGUUACUAAAGUUGGUAUAACUAGAGAAGCAAGCGGUCAGCAACAUUCAUCUUUAGAGGGGGUGUCUAACUC
Xyrichtys novacula (pearly razorfish) is the source of this 82948-nucleotide non-coding RNA. NCBI's taxonomy places the organism in Eukaryota, Metazoa, Chordata, Actinopteri, Labriformes, Labridae. The record is from the annotation of a GenBank genome assembly.